UCGGUUGUUAAGUAGUUUUUCUUGCGUGUGUUAAUUUAUAUGCACUGGUUUGGUGAGAUUAAUUUGUCUUAGUUUGGCUGUGUCGUACUACAAGAGAUACAUACGAUUGGGUGUGCGUGUGUGAAUGAACAGUAAUUUGAUUAAGCAUGUGUAACACUUGUAUUUGUUUGAUGAAAUGUAAUUUGCAGAAUAUUCAUUCAUUAGUCGCUGCGGAUUUCCAAUAGCAUUUAUCUGUUAUGUACAUUACGUGGUACUCCAACACAAGCUUAUUUCAUUUCAUGAAUGAAUUUGAUGCCGGUUUCAUCCUUUUGUCCGAAAAGCACAAUAAGCUUGUUUGAUGCAAGUGUAUGUCCAAUGGGAUGUUGAAUGGUCGUGGCCCAUGUCCUGGAGAAGAUAGUGUAUAUGUAGUACGGUAUCAGCUUCUUUUUUUGAAUAGUCUGGAUUGCUUAUCGCUAGUAUGUACCAAUGCAAGUUCCAAGAUGUGAUUCAUUUCCCCCUUUUUUUAGAAAUAGUUCAUAUUUAGAAGAUUUUGGGAAAAGUUUGCCAUGAAAGAAGAUGGGCUGGCAGGGAUGAAUUUUGUCGCCCAUGUUUACAUGUGGCCCACUUGUUGGAUGCACUACCAAGUUUAAAAUGUCAAAUCAAAAUAUAUGUGAUCCAUAUUAACUAGGAGUAACAAAAUUUCUCCAUUUUUUCCUAACACCAUUCAACACCCAAAAUUUAUAUUGUUUGAUUUAUGAAUCAAUAUGAAAAUAUACUUCAUGAUAGUUAGUACUGGUAACAAUAUUUCUCCAUUUUUGUACUAUUAACAUAUAGUACUCCAUUCAACAUCCAAACUGUAAGGGCUACUUUGCUUCAAGGGAAAUCUAAAGGAUUUUUGAAGGAUUGAAAUCCACAGGAUUUUUCAUACAUUGGUCCUUUAAUUCAUAGGAUUGGAUCCCAUAGGAAUUUUUCCUAUGCAAUCCUUUUUACUAUGUUUCAUAGGAAAUCUAACAGCCACUCCAACAUCUUUUUUACCAUUCCCAUGUUUUAAAAAUCCUGCGAAUCAAAGAGGCCCUAACUAGUUUUAUUAUACUAACAUGAUCACUGCAUGUAUGACAAAGUUACUUGAUUAAUUUCUUGUGGCGUAGUCUAAAUCCCGUAUAGAAGAUCGUGUAUACCAUCUUUUGGAGAUGCUCUUACUCGGGUAUGAUCUAAGGUGGAGUUUCUGUCAGAUAAGCCCUUGAGCUAGAUCCUAACUAUGCUACACUAUGCCCUGCUAGACUAAAGAUAUACCAAAUGCAGUUAUUCAUUGAAUUUAAUGCAUAUGAAGGCAUGCAAACAAGCAAUUGAAGGGCCGGAAAGCCAAAUUUACCCUUUCAAUUUAUGUAGAAAAUUGGCUUAAUUACUUCACAAAUUCGUUACUCUUUUUGCAUGUAUCGCUGAUUAAUUUCCACUGAUCGUGGAUCCAAGGAUAUGAACAUCCAGAAAAUGGAGUGCACAGACCACAGGAGGAUUACAUCAGUCAAAUUCGGUGAGAUCGGAGAGAUAAAACACAAAAUGUACCUAGGUUCAGACCCUGGCAUGUCCUUCCUUUUAAUCUUUGCUGCAAUAUGUCAAGAACAGCGUCAAACUGAGCAACGUGAUGCAUCGGUGUUUGUUGCAAACGUCAAUACAAUAGAUUUUUUUCUUUUUCUUUUUUGCAAAAAAGAGGAACUAACGACUUUAGGUGACAUAUGUGUGCAAGUUGUGACUUUUACGCUAUGAACUACUCCCUCUGUCCCAAAAUGUAAGACGUUUUUGAGGCUUAGACUAAGUCUCAAAAACGUCUUACAUUUUGGGACGGAGGGAGUAGUUUUUAAUACUAUACGCUUGUAUAGCAACCUCUGAUGUAGUAUGAGGCAAAAGCAAGGGGUAUCCGCUGGAUUGAAUACCGUAUGGGAAUCAUACGCUCAAGAGUCGUACGCAGAGUACUUUACUUUCAUACUCAUAUAAAGAUAUAGCUCAAUCUCCUCUCCGCCACCGACAAAUAGUACCACUUCGGGCAGGUUAUGAUCGCUUACUAUGCAAGGUGCUAUGAAGGGGCCGGUAAUCAUUUCUGUCAAGGAGCCCAUCAUUCAGAUUGAAAAAUGUGGGUUAUGUAGGUAUAGUAUACCUGUUAUAUAUUCCUUUCCCUGUAUAUAAAUUCCGUUGUAAGCGUGCAUACAAACUCCGCUCCGUGGCCGGCAUAAACUACAAGAAGAUGAUCACACUCACCCCAUAUCUUUUCCAACACAUGAAUGGCCAUCGCCAUGCCGGUGAAGGUGACCUUUGCAGUUUCCAGGCCGGCGCGGCGAGAUGGGUGGUGCUGCGAGACGUCUUUGCCUUUCACCUCUCUGGCGUCGGUCGUGGUGACCCUCCUGCCGGGGAAGCCAACAAAACCCGAGCGCUCACGGGCGGCGCAUCCUUACAAAUCACCCGUACCAGCCAGCCAGCUGCUGCCUUUCCCUGCCUCUGACCCUGACCAGGAUCGGCACCAGCCACUUGCAUUCUAGUGCAAUUGCAACGUGAAUUGCUGGGUGGAUCCAUCGGCCGGCACCAACCGUAUCAUGCAUGCAUGUUGCUUGACUGACCGCCAUUUUCGUGUCCCAUCAUUAUACAUACAUGCAUGCAUGUGACGCGUUUUCACUCUACUGUUGCACGAUAAGACGGCCCAUGAUGAAAUUUCAUUAGAAGGAAAGAAGAAAGACGUACUCCCUCCGUAAACUAAUAUAAGAGCGUUUAGAUAACUAUUUUUAGUGAUCUAAACGCUUUUAUAUUAGUUUACAGAGGAAGUACUAUGUAUUGUUUGCCGUACGUUGUAGUACGCAGAGUAACAAAAAGCCUCCCACCAGCAUUUGUAAAAAAAAUCUUCGGCUCGCCUCCGCCCGCGACCUCACGGCCAUCUAUGUCAUCACCGGCUCCGGCUCGGCCUCAUUGGCGAGCCUAUAUGCUCUCAUGUCUCAGGCUCGAGCCUUCGCCCCUCUCUCAAAUGAAAUCGACUGACACAAUUUCCAAACACACUCAACUAAGAUUUAUCAACACCUUUAAUGAAAUCAUUUUACAAUUGUCAACAUGCUAAUUGCGUUGAGAUUUGCCUACUACUUUUGUAUUGUGCUUUUACGGUUAAACUCUUAAUUUAACUAGUAACUUAUGCUUCUUUAGAUUCCUUAAAUCGGUUGAAUGGUAUUGACAGUCUUGACCAAAAUGAUGACUCCAUUUGCAAAGCAAAUCUCUUAGCAUGCUCGAUUAACAACAUCGUUCAAGCAUGACACGUUGCGUGCAUGGACAAGUUAUGGGAAGAUCAAUGCUCCUUAAUAUUGGUCAAACAUUUAUAAGUUUUGCCUGGUUAAGAACAGAUGCAUCUUAUAUUCUGAAACGGAGUGAGGAUUCCGCAUGGGGCUCGGUGGCCUGGUGACAACCAACCAACAGAUGCCGCGUCAUUCGGUAAUAACCUAUCCGUAACAAUGAAAUGAAAUCCGAAGGUGUAGCAUCACUGCAAUAUGUAUCUACGUCGUAUAUACGCAUACAGGGUCAACACGCAGAUCUUUGUCCCAUCAUCUUUGACCUUGACCGUGACCGUGACGUGGACUAUAUGCAGCGCAUGUAGGGUCGAUCGACAUGCAGAUCUUUUUGGUACUUCGUCUUUGACCGUGACACGUGCAUGUCGACCAAAUGUUUUAGUGCGUAUCACAUGCUUGCAGAUAUAGGAACAAAAACUAUACGUCUGCGAUGUUUGGUGUCUUCUGUCCGAAGGAGCGUACGGAUGGGACGGUUUCGUGGCUUGCUGUGUGCAUGGCUCACACUGCUGCCGAUCCCACUGCAGAGCCUCGUCAUUUUCCGGCUGCACUGGGUAUUCCUCAUUGGCAUGAUGCAAUGGAACAAGAGUUUCAGGCCCUCCAAAAGAAUGAUACUUGGCAUCUUGUUCCUCCAGUGUCUGGCGUCAACGUCAUUGAUUUCAAGUGGGUUUUCAAAGUCAAGAGACAUGCUGAUGACUCCAUUGAACGCUACAAGGCACGGUUAGUUGCCAAGGUCUUGAAACAGAGGUAUGGUCUUGAUUAUGAAGACACUUUCAGUCCAGUCAUCAAGCCUACUACCAUUCGAUUAAUACUAUCUCUUGCGGUUACUCGCGGAUGGUUCCUUCGUCAGCUUGAUGUGCAGAAUGCUUUUCUACAUGGCAUUCUGGAGGAGGAGGUUUAUAUGCGUCAACCACCUGGUUUUGUUGACCUGACAUGACCUCAUCAUCUCUGUCGUCUGGUUAAGGCACUAUAUGGACUCAAACAGGCUCCUUGUGCAUGGCAUGCUCGCCUUGGAUCUGUUCUUCUGGCUCUUGGGUUUACUCCCCCCACUGCUGAUACGUCACUGUUUCUCCUCCAGCGCCCUGAGGUUACGAUGUAUCUCUUGGUUUAUGUUGAUGAUAUCAUCCUCAUCAGUUCCUCUACUGCUGCUGCUGAUCGCCUUGUGAUUGCUCUCCGUGAUGAUUUUGCUGUCAAAGAUUUAGGUUCUCUUCACUUUUUCCUUGGUCUUGAGGUUUCAUGGUCCUCUGCUGGUUUGACUCUCACUCAGAAAAAGUACUCCUUGGACUUGUUGCGUCGUGCUAGAAUGCUCAAAUGCAAACAUGUUAACACUCCGAUGUCUGCCACUGAUUAGUUGUCUGCUCUUGAUGGUGACUCUCUCUCUCGUCUGAUGAUGCUACUGAGUAUCGCAGUCUCAUUGGUGGUCUGCAAUACCUUACUAUUACCAGGCCUGAUAUCUCCUAUGCAGUCAACCGUGUCUGUCAGUUUCUGCAUGCACCCAGGACGUCUCACUGGUCAACUGUGAAGCGUAUUUUGCGCUAUUUCAAUUUUACUGCCUCCUAUGGUUUGCUUCUUCAGUCUGCACCGUCGUAUGAGCUCUCAGCUUUCUCUGAUGCAGAUUGGGCUGGUAGUCCGGAUGACAGGCGAUCCACAGGGGGUUAUGCGGUAUUUCUGGGUCCUAACUUGAUCGCCUGGAAUGCUCGCAAGCAAGCAACAAUGUCUCACAGUAGUACUGAGGCUGAGUACAAAGUUGUUGCUGAUGCGACUGCUGAGAUCAUAUGGGUACAGUCUCCGUUGAGAGAGUUGCGUGUUCCUCAAGCUCGUCCUCCGGUCCUAUGGUGUGACAACAUUGGUGCUACAUAUCUUUCUUCUAAUCCGGUGUUUCAUGCUAGGACAAAACACAUUGAGGUGGAUUAACACUUUGUUUAGGAACAUGUUGCACACAAGCUACUCUGUAUCAAGUUCAUCUCAUCAAAGGAUCAACUUGCUGACAUCUUCACGAACCCUCUUCCAUAACCAUAGUUUGUAGGAUGUAGGCGCAAUCUUAACUUGCUUUGUAUUUCAGGACAUAGUUAAGAUUGAGGAAGGGUGUUAGACUGUAUAUACGUAGCCUCUGUAUAGGAUGUAGGCGCAAUCUUAACUUGCUUUGUAUUUCAGGACAUAGUUAAGAUUGAGGAAGGGUGUUAGACUGUAUAUACGUAGCCUCUGUAUAUACAGUGUAUAUACAGAGGCUACGUAUAUACAGUCUAACACCCUUCCUCAAUCUACUGUAUAUACAGAGGCUACGUAUAUACAGUCUAACACCCUUCCUCAAUCUUAACUAUGUCCUGAAAUACAAAGCAAGUUAAGAUUGCGCCUACAUCCUACAAACUAUGGUUGUGGAAGAGGGUUCGUGAAGAUGUCAGCAAGUUGAUCCUUUGAUGAGAUGAACUUGAUACAGAGUAGCUUGUGUGCAACAUGUUCCCAAACAAAGUGUUAAUCCACCUCAAUGUGUUUUGUCCUAGCAUGAAACACCGGAUUAGAAAAAAGAUAUGUAGCACCAAUGUUGUCACACCAUAGGACCGGAGGACGAGCUUGAGGAACACGCAACUCUCUCAACGGAGACUGUACCCAUAUGAUCUCAGCAGUCGCAUCAGCAACAGCUUUGUACUCAGCCUCAGUACUACUGUGAGACAUUGUUGCUUGCUUGCGAGCAUUCCAGGCGAUCAAGUUAGGACCCAGAAAUACCGCAUAACCCCCCGUGGAUCGCCUGUCAUCCGGACUACCAGCCCAAUCUGCAUCAGAGAAAGCUGAGAGCUCAUACGACGGUGCAGACUGAAGAAGCAAACGAUAGGAGGCAGUAAAAUUGACAUGGCGCAAAAUACGCUUCACAGUUGACCAGUGAGACGUCCUGGGUGCAUGCAGAAACUGGCAGACACGGUUGACUGCAUAGGAGAUAUCAAGCCUGGUAAUAGUAAGGUAUUGCAGACCACCAAUGAGACUGCGAUACUCAGUAGCAUCAUCAGACGAGAGAGAGAGUCACCAUCAAGAGCAGACAACUAAUCAGUGGCAGACAUCGGAGUGUUAACAUGUUUGCAUUUGAGCAUUCUAGCACGACGCAACAAGUCCAAGGAGUACUUUUUCUGAGUGAGAGUCAAACCAGCAGAGGACCAUGAAACCUCAAGACCAAGGAAAAAGUGAAGAGAACCCAAAUCUUUGACAGCAAAAUCAUCACGGAGAGCAAUCACAAGGCGAUCAGCAGCAGCAGUAGAGGAACUGAUGAGGAUGAUAUCAUCAACAUAAACCAAGAGAUACAUCAUAACCUCAGGGCGCUGGAGGAGAAACAGUGACGUAUCAGCAGUGGGGGAGUAAACCCAAGAGCCAGAAGAACAGAUCCAAGGCGAGCAUGCCAUGCACAAGGAGCCUGUUUGAGUCCAUAUAGUGCCUUAACCAGACGACAGAGAUGAUGAGGUCAUGUCAGAUCAACAAAACCAGGUGGUUGACGCAUAUAAACCUCCUCCUCCAGAAUGCCAUGUAGAAAAGCAUUCUGCACAUCAAGCUGACGAAGGAACCAUCCGCGAGUAACCGCAAGAGAUAGUAUUAAUUGAAUGGUAGUAGGCUUGAUGACUGGACUGAAAGUGUCUUCAUAAUCAAGACCAUACCUCUGUUUCAAGACCUUGGCAACUAACCGUGCCUUGUAGCGUUCAAUGGAGUCAUGGGCAUGUCUCUUGACUUUGAAAACCCACUUGGAAUCAAUGACAUUGACGCCAGACACUGGAGGAACAAGAUGCCAAGUAUCAUUCUUUUGGAGGGCCUGAAACUCUUGUUCCAUUGCAUCAUGCCAAUGAGGAAUACUCAGUGCAGCCUGAAAAUGAUGAGGCUCUGAAGUGGGAUCGGCAGCAGUGUGAGCCAUGCACGCAGCAAGCCACGAAACCGUCCCAUCCGUAAGAAGACACCAGACUGGCUCCGUGUGCGAGGACGAAGAAUGACAGCAGGUUCUGCUAGCAAGGUCGGUGCAGCAGAGGAUGUUGGUGAGGCCUGCACCGAGUAGGGCGAGUCGGGCUCACCGGUGACCGGAACAGGGCUGGUCGGCGACCCUGGCGCCAAAGCAGACCCGGCCAAAGCAGGUGACGGGGCCUCCGGGCCAGUGACAGCAGCAGCCGGCCCGGGCGAGAGACCCGCUAGUGGCCCGGGCGAGCCACGCAAGGCGGGCGCUAGUGAGGCUUGCGAGCCGGGUGAAGGUGGCGCUGGCGAGGCUGCUAGUGCGGACGAGGCCAGCGAGCCAGGCGAGGCAGGCGCUAGCGAGCCCAGCGCCCACGGGGCCAGCGAGGAGCCAGGCCGACCCGGCGCCCGCGAGGCGGACGGGGGAGCCUCCACAGGGGAGACGGGGACAGGUUGGCAGGUGCCGCAUGUCAUGCAUGGCGCAUGCACGUCCCGAUCAGGACGCUCAUCGGUGACCUGUUCAUCAAGUAGCUCGAGCCGGGCACCGCGUCCAAUACCUGCAGCAUGAUUAGGAAGCAACGCAGUGGCAUAUGCAACAUCCAGGCAUAGGUGUGGACACAUGCACUGGUGGUGUAGAAGUGGUAUAGUUAGUCGGAAGUGCAUGAAAAGGAAAAACAUUUUCAUCAAACACAACGUCACGAGAGAUGUAGGCGCGGUUGGUAGAAACAUGCAAGCACUUGUACCCUUUGUGAAGAGAACUAUACCCGAGAAAGACGCACUUCUUAGACCGAAACUCUAGCUUGCGCUUGUUGUAUGGACGUAAGUGAGGCCAAAAUGCACACCCGAACACUUUGAAGAAUGUGUAGUCUGGAUUCUCAUUAAGAAGAAGUUCAAGAGGGGUUUGCAUUUUCAGAAGUCUCGAGGGAAGCCUGUUUAUGAGAAAACAAGUUGUAGAGAAAGCAUCACUCCAGAACCGAAACGGGACGGAGGCAUGAGCUAGCAAGGUUAGGCCAGUUUCAACAAGGUGACGAUGCUUACGCUCGUACCAUUCUGCUGAUGUGUAUGAGGACAUGACACGCGGUGCAAAAUCCCAAGUUUGUUAAAAAACGAGUCGAGNNNNNNNNNNNNNNNNNNNNNNNNNNNNNNNNNNNNNNNNNNNNNNNNNNNNNNNNNNNNNNNNNNNNNNNNNNNNNNNNNNNNNNNNNNNNNNNNNNNNNNNNNNNNNNNNNNNNNNNNNNNNNNNNNNNNNNNNNNNNNNNNNNNNNNNNNNNNNNNNNNNNNNNNNNNNNNNNNNNNNNNNNNNNNNNNNNNNNNNNNNNNNNGAAGACGCUCAACAUGUGCUUGAAACUGAAUAAAGACAUCGAACACAUCAGACUUACGUUUAAUAAGAUAUAACCAAGUAAAACGGUUGUAAGCAUCAAUGAAACUGACAUAAUAAUUGUGACCGCUAAUAGAUGUCUGGGCAUGACCCCAUACAUCAGAAAACACAAGCUCAAGAGGAUGUUUCACAACACGACUAGACUCUGAAAAAGCAAGUUGAUGACUCUUGCCCUGCCGACAGGCAUCACAAAUAGUUUCAGCAGUUUUAUUGGACACAACUGGUAGAUCAUGACGAUGCAAAACAUGUCGAACUAUGGGAGCCGCCGGGUGACCAAGGCGCGCAUGCCAGUGUGUAGGCGACACACGAACACCAUUGAACGCCUGAGGAGAGGACGACAUGGAAGGUGGGCGCGGCGCAUCAAGUGCAUACAGGCCAUGGCGAAGACGACCACUAAGUAGAACGGCCCUCGUGUCCCGAUCCUUGAUAAAGAAACGAAAAGGGUGAAACUCAGCAAGGAUAUUAUUAUCACGAGUAAGUUGAGGAAUGGACAACAAACUACGUGUAGCAGAAGGAACACGAAGGACAUUAGAUAGAUGCAAUGUGCGAAAAUUGUGUGCAAGGAGAGAAGCCUAACCAACAUGGGAGAUGCGCAUACCUGCUCCACUGGGGGUGUGCACCUAAUCAUGACCACGAUAUGGCUCCUGAGCAGAGAGCUUACCCAUCUCACCGGUGAGGUGGUUGGUAGCUCCAGUGUCCAUGUACCACACAGGAUCAACGGAGUAAGACGGAGUACGUCCAUGAUCAUGACUCGCCAUGGCGGCGGCGGCCUGCCUGUCGUUCCCUUUGCCAUUGUUGCCUAGGCCCAGAAAAUCUUGCUUGUAGCGACGGUGGCAGCGAGAGGCAAUGUGGCGCUCAAGGCCACACAACUGGCAGGCCUGUUGGGCACCACAAGAAGAACAACAUGCCACCGGCCGGUUACCACCCGUGAUGGUCGGAGCAUUGCCCCGCGAGGCCGGCUGUGAAGGAGGCGCCGGUCUGCCUCCUGAAGAUGAUGACCGCUGGGGCUUGCCACGAGUUGCGGCAUUGGCGGAGGCGAAAUUGGGGGAGGCCCGGCGCACCUUAAUGCACUGCUCACAGCCAAGCAAACGUGCAUAGAGCUCACGAGGUGGAAGCGGGUCAUCACGGCCAUGAACAUUCUCAAUGAGAUUGUCAUAAUCAUCAUCAAGCCCAUUAAGCACGAAGGUGGUGAACUCCUCAUCCUGCAGCGACUGACCAACUGAGGCCAACGUGUCGGCGAGACCCCACAUCUUGUUGAAGUAGUCAGUGAUGCUGAGGUCACCAAGCUUCGUCUCACCCAUCUCGGUGCGUAUAGAGUGAGCACGCGCCUGGGACUGAGAGGCAAAACUGGUGUGAAGCGCCGCCCACACCGCCCGCGACGUAGCGGCGAAGAUGACCAGUGAUGAGAUGCUCGGGGUGAGCGAGGACUGGAUGGCAGAGAGGAUGUCCUAAUCCUGAGCCACCCAAGUGUGGAACGCCGGGUGGUGAGGGGGCGGACACUCGAGGGAUCCGUCAACGUAGCCCUCCAAAUAGCGACUCCGCAGAAGAGGGAGCACCUGGGCACACCAGGACAGGUAGUUGUCCGGCGCAAGCUUCACCGGUAGCAGAUGCGAGAAGUAGAACGGCGCCGGCACCAUGGCCGAAUCAGCAUGGGCAUGCGGCGAUGCAUACAGGUCCAUCGACGAGGCCGCCCCAGGGUGUACGGGAUACACCGAGUAGGGCGGGUAGGAUUCGGGGGAGACCGCCCCGGGCGCGCCGUUGUGUGUCGCGGGGGUGCCGUAGGGUGCCGCGGGGGCACCGUGGUAGGGUGCCUCGGGGGCACCGUGGUUUGCCGCGGCCGAAACCACUGCAGCGAGGCAGCCGCAGCUCCAUGCGGGUGCGGGGAGGACGCCGGGUAGGGUUGAGGCGGCGCCGGCGCCGAGUACGAUUGGGGCGGCGAGGGCGCCAAGGAGGGUUGAGGCAGCGCGGGCGCCGAGUAGGUCAGCGGCGGCGGCGCGCCGUAGUAGUGAUGAGGUGGCGGCGCGCCAUAGGGUUGGGGCAGCGCCGUCCAAGAUGACGACGGCGGCGGCCCACCAUGGAUCGCGGGAACACCGCCCGCAGAAGGAGCAGCGCCAGAGGGAGCACCUGUCGGGGUGGCGCCGCGGUCUCCCGAUCCGAUCGGGGAGCGAGGCGACGACGAGGCACCGUAGGCCAUCACGAGGGGCUGCGUGGCAAGGAACGGUGAGGCAGUGGCGAGGGCCGGCACCGCGGCGGCGGCGGUAGGAACCGAGGUCGGCGCGACGGCGGCGGUGGCGGCGGCAGCGGAAGACAUCGUAACCUAAUUUGAUACCAUGUAAGACAUAUGAUUUGGGAACUGCUCGACAACCCUAACCUGGGAUGUGACUAUCUCAUUAUAUAGAGGUACCCAAGGGGUGCAAUACAAUAUUACAAUACAGAUAUGCAGAAGCUACGUAUAUUUAGUCUAACAUGCUGUACUCCUAGCUACGUGCUGAGACGUGAACUAAUUAAGCAGGCGCGUACGACAAUUGCAUCAAGUGAAUAAUCAACCAGCCAACACAACAAGGUCCAUUAUAACCUAGUUGUUCGAUGUCGAGCGUGUCAUUAGCUAGCAGUGGCGCGCACGUACGAAGUCUAAACAAACUGGCAAAUGAUCGAUUGAUUUAUCAAACAAGCAGUAUAUACGUACAACUAGCUACGUGUCAAGGGUAUUGAGGUUCAAACACCGGACAGCUUUGUCGAUCAGGGUCCUAGCGACUAAUUAUAUCAGGUCAAUAUCACCUAAAAUGCCAAGCAGAAAGGAUGGUUGCAUAUGGAAGAAGCCAAGUGACGGUGUGGUGAAAAUAAAUGUGGACGCAUCGUUUCAUGGAGAUACUUUGUCAGGGGAGCUAUAGCUCGUGAUGACAAAGGAGAUUUUAUUGCUGCUGCAAAUUGGUUUAUCCCACAUAUACAAUAUGUUGAUGCUGCUGAACUUACUGCUAUCAGGAACGGUCUUUUUUCUAGCGGCUAGCGUCGGGUGCAAUUAAGUCGAAGUUGAAUCAGAUUGCUCAUUUGCUGUGGACACCUUGAACUCCAUGGAUUAUUUGGGUCCUCAUGUGGCAAUAGUGGUUGAUUGCAAUCAGCUAGCGAUGGAGUUCGGACGCAUUUCUUUCAAGCAUUGCUACCGUGAGCCGUGAGGCAAAUCAAGUGGCGGAUGAGUUAGCAAAGAAUUUUUUUGUUAGUAGAUCCUCUAGUUCUUGGGAAUCUGUGAUUUCAGAUUUUAUUUCUCAUUCUCUUGUAAACGACAUGUCUAUUAUUUGAGAAGUAAAGUGUUUUACCCGUCAGAAAAAAAAGCUACAUUCGUAGUACACUAGUCAAUGACAUAUAUGCCGGAGAUGUUGCCGUGGAUGGGUCUUCUAGGAGGGGCACUGGAAGCCGGAGGGGACGUUCUUGCCGCAGUAGUUGAUGAGGAGGCUGAGGUCGACGGGCACGUUGAGGUGGAUGCCCAGGAUGUUGGCCUUGAGCGCCGUGCACAGGCACACGGCCGCAUCCAGGUCCGCCAGCCCCUGGAGCAGCGAGCAGCACGUCUGCUUCGGCGUCGUCACCGGCCGCAGGUUGAUCAGCCCGCCCAGCACGUUCGCGCACGCCCCAAGCUUCAGCGCGUCGAUCGGGCACUGCCCGCUGCCACCCUUGCCUCCACCGCCGCCGCCGCCCCCUCCUCCUCCCCCUGCCGGCGGCGGCGGGCUAGGCAGGUGGCACCCGCAGUCGUCGGCCAAGGCGAAGAAGAGCAGGUUCAGUGCCAGCAGCGUGACGAGCACCGCCGCUUUCGUCGCCAUAGCUUCCUAUCCGAGCUACUGCGAGUCUACUACGUACAGGGUUUAUUAGAGCUAGCUCACUCUGGCUGUGUGUGUCAAGUGCAAGGGACCUCCGGGUGCUACUUAUAGACCAAGAAGAAAGGAAGGUGUUGAACUAGCUCCUAGCUUAGAGCAUUUUCAACAGCCGCACAACGUGCGAGUCGCGCUAAAAAUGAGAAUACCGCGCCGCGCGAGCUGGGUUUUGCGCGCGGCGCUGCGCUGACUCCAGCGGCCGCCGCAAAAUAAAGCGCGGCCUAACCGCUCCAGCAGACGUGCUAUAUUUUUUUUUUCUUGAGACGAUUGCAUACAUAGCAUACAAAUAUGAAGAUAAUUCGGCACAUAGCCUGCUUCUACGAUACAAAAUGCGUACAUCUAGACUUCUCCAAUGAUAUAUAGUUCUACUACGUCCACAUAGCCUGCUUCUACGAUACAAAAUAAAACUAUUACUACUCGUUCUCCGACUCGGACUCUGCCUCGGUGAUGUCCUCCUCCGACGUCUGAGCAUAGGCGUCAAGGAACCGCUCGUCGCGGGAGUCCCAUGACGACGCAUCUCCUAGCGCCAUGUUGUAUUUAGCGACCGCCUUCCGCAUUCGCUUGUCCUCGCGAUAGGCGGCUCGCUCCUUUCUUCUCUCCUCCCUCUCCGCCCUCCUCUCGACGAAGAAGUGUUUUUCGUUGAUGAUGUCUUGCGGGAAGCAUUGCCUCCACAACGCCAUGACUUCCUCAUCCAUCCCGGUCAGGCUAAGAUGGCACUCCCGUCUCCGGUGUUUGCGACGAUCCUCGUCGGUGUUAAGCCGCCGGAAAGGCGCCAACUCCUGUGCCCGCUCCUCCGUCGCCACGUCGGUGAAGUUCAUGUCCCAACGGGACCGCCGGAGGCGCCACGCCGCAGCGUCGUACGCGCGGGCGCCAUCCUGGGUGGUGGCGAAGGUUCCGAGGCCAAGGCGCACGCCGCCGCCCGACUGAAUCAAGGCGGAAUAGGUGCCGGACGGACGCACGCGGAUGCCGCGAUAGCCGGAACCUUCCCGGCGGCGAGGCGGCAUGGUGGCGCGGUGGUGGCGUGUCGGCGGCGAGGAGAGAAAGCAGUAGAGAGGGCGAGAGAGAGCGGCAGAGGGCGCUGCAAUUUUAUAGGGGCGCGUGAAGCGGCGUGCCAAAUCUAGCGCGCGAGCUGCCGCCUUUUCCCCCGCGCGCUAGUUUGCCGUCACCCCUGGAGCGUGCAAAACCGGGCCGCGCGUGCUAAAAAGCCAAUUUAUCGCGCGCGCGUCUUUUGACGCGCUUGUUGAAGAUGCUCUUAAUUAGGACACAGAUAUUUUACUCACUCCACGCGUGUAAUCGACCAGUCUCUCCAUGAGAAGAUCACCACGAGAUAGCUGAUCGCAACAGGUGCACGGCGCAUGUGAGCUGGCUUUGGCUUUGGGGAUGGGUGGAAGGAGACAAGGAGAUGUUUGGAGUGUUGCCGAUAAAUAAAAGAUGUAAAGCAAAAUUGUGUAAGUGAAACAAUGUCUAGACCGUUGUUCUCAAAUCAGACGGCUCUCGGAGCGCAAAAUCAACCAUAAUGUAGCUUGCCGACUUAGCCGCUCAAAUCUGCGAAUCCCAAGCGACAUGGACAUAUGUGCAGCCGCUUUUGUCCAUUUCUCGUUGAGAGGACAAUACUAUUUCUUGGAGCAUUUUGUUUCAAGGUUUUGUCACACUAAUGACCGAAUUUAUCAUCUGAAGAAAAAUGUAUCAGUUUAAAGGUGGACUUACCACAGUGUAUUUUGCCCAAAUACUUCCUCCCAAACUAAUUGACUGGUUGACCCACCUGCCAGAAUCAUGUGGUGCCGGUGACAAGAAUUACACGUGCGCCGUCUAUUGAAUAUUAUCGCAUUAUCAUCAUGUGGAGUAAACCAUUUUAAGUGCAUUUUCUAUUUAACAGGCACCAGGAAAAUAUUCUCGGUUGGGGCAUCUCCGAUGCCGACCCACAGACCGACCCCAUACUUUCGGACUGCGCUAUCCGACCAUGAAAGCAUCCAACACCGCCCUGUAUCGGCCUGCAGGGCGGUUUAGACGUGAUUUUUUUUUUUUGCAAACCAGAGACAGACAUGAGGAGUUUGCGGGCGUCCGGACCACUGUUAGGCCCGCGUCUGACCGCUCUGGCCCAUCCAAACCCCCUCCCUCGCCGCGCGCUUCCUGCCCGAAACGAUUAGGUGCUUCAGAGCGUCAAUGCAGCAUUCAUGUCUGGCCAGAGCGGACACGACCUAUCACUGGCACCGAUAUUGAAGCGGCACGCAGGCCGAGUGACCGCCGCCCGGCCAUUUCUCGGUGCAGGCAACUACUCCGUGUUCAAACAAGAUGGCGGACGUCCGUCCGUCUACUUGGCGCCCACAUUAAUGACACACGGUUGUCGAGGCAGCUACUUCGGUGCCACCCGUCCGUCCCUCUGCCGCCCACCAUCACAAUAUAAACUACAGCCCUGACCAUUGCCGCGGUCAUCCGCCUCCCAUCCCUUUAUCCUCUCUGCACCAUUCCCGCCAUGGCUUUCUUCCACGCUAAGACUCUUAGGGACGGGCUGAUGCUGGAGCAGAAGAAGAAGAUGGCCACCAUUGCUUUGGCUGGCUGGCCGGCAGGCAAUCGAAGGACGACGACGUCUCAAUGGAGGACGCGGUCGACGACGAGCCGACACCACCCUCCUCGUCCGCGCCACCUACGUCCCAAUGGAGUAUUAAAGUUCGUCGGAACUACAAGGUGCUUCCUUUUUUUGCAUAGUAAUUAAUGUGUGUCACAUUCAUAUCAUAAAGAUCAAAGUACAUGUCACGUAAGGGCUGACAUGGCAAAACUGAAAAGAGAGCAGAACCUCUCUGAGUUUGACACCAAAACUCGCACCUGCCUCUGGCACCAUCAUAGCAGCCACCAAAGAAAAGAAUGAUGGAUCAACUCUUACCCGAGCUCGACGCGGCUCCAUCGCUUAUAUGCAGCUUUGCGGACCUUCAAAGGUGGCUCACCAAAAGUAAAGCCACAGUCGUCGAACAAAUUAGACCGGGACACAUCAUCGAACUCUAGAUCUGUCACUCCACCACGACUAAGACGCCAAAGGAGGAAACCGCACCCUGCCAUCUAUCAACCACGAACACAGCACAUGUUCCGUCUUAUAGAUGUCUUCGAUGCAGACCACAAUCUGCAUCCGCUCCUGGACUACCUUUCACGCUCCGCACCGACAUUGGAGCAGACGUGGUCACAAUGACGGAGUACGAUGACACAUAUUCACCACGAGGAGGCCGUCGGCGUCACACCAUCGUUGAUUGAACAGACUGGUUUCCAAAACUAUCCUCAACCAUAGGGCCGAUCGACUUGUUGGUGAAGAAUAUGAAGAACCUUUAUUCAGCGCCGUCAUCGUCACUGCCGAAGCCAUGACGAUGAACAACCUAAAAACGAAACUACUUUAACUUAUAAUUAUCCACACACGUGGAUUCGGCGAUCCCCUCACCACCGACGACCGAGGUCGUCGGCCAAGGGGAGCCGUUGGAGGACUGCGGCGGAGGAACUCUCCUUGGGAGAGACGCUGGCGAGAUCACAAGGUGCUUUCUUUCAACCACGGUGGAUUGUGUAUUAGCAUUGUGUACUGUCCGUGAACUCUUAAUUUAUACCAGUAUACGUCAUGGUUCCUUACAUGCUUGACUCGAUUGAAAAAAAUUGGCAGGCCUUACCAAAAGGACUAUUCUAUUCACGCACCAAAUGUAUGUGUCCUUGUUAGACUUAGAGAUAUUUGUGUUAUGUAAUCUUAACUAAUUCCUCUAUCCUUUUCUCUCCCGUUUAACUUCCUAUCCUCAUCCUGCUGAAUCCUAGCGAUCGGUGGGCUUCUUGUAAACCACGGCAGGGGUUGUUCCUGCCCCCAAUCAAUAUAAGCCCGCGGCUCCUCUACGGAGGAGUAGGAACGCUUCAUCGAUCCAAUCUAACAUGAUAUACAGAGCCAAGUCUCUUCCUAUCGUCUAGCAAAACCAAAACCCUAAACACCACCCUUCCAUCGCCAUGGCUAUGAGCUCAAGCGCCAUCGCUCUCAACCUAGGUGCUCCACCAACAGAGAAGCUCGCAAGGGGAAACUACCUCCUAUGGAAGGCGCAGGUCAUGCCGGCACUGCAGGCGCGCAAGUGACCGGUCUUCUCGACGGCAGCGAUGCCUCACCGCCGAAGACAGUAGAAGUUACCAAGGCGGACAAAACCACGGCCAUCGAGCCCAAUCCUCUGUAUGGCCCGUGGUUGUCGAAGGAUCAACAGGUUCUAAGCUACCUGCUGAACUCUCUCACCCAGGAAAUCCUUGCACAAGUCAUCGGUAAGGACAGCACCUUUGAUCUGUGGACUACUCUUACCACGUUGUUCGCUGCGCAGUCGAAAUCCCGCAUAACCAAUCUGCGGAUGGCCAUCUCCAACACCAAGAAGGGCAACAUGUCGAGCAACGCCUUCAUCGCCAAGAUGAAGAACCUCGGGGAUGAGCUAGCACUAGUGCAGAACCGAGUUGUAUUACUGGUUCGUAAGGCCCUUUAGUGUCGGUUCUGUAACCGGCACUAAAAGGUGGAGACUAAAGCCCCCCCCCCCUAGUACUGGUUCAGUACAAAUCGCCACUAAAAGGCCACCACGUGGCACGAACCAGCUCCGAGGGCGGGAAGACUAAAGGUUUUUUAAUAAAGCAAAACAACCCACCUACUGGGCCGGCACGACCUGCAUACGACUACAAACCCAACCUCUAGUUGGGCCAGGAUGCAGGCCUGUACGGCCCAAUAGGCCCCACAGGGCAAAAGACUUGCAAUAGGCCCACAAAGGCCUGCUUAGAGAGGAGCUCGACACGGUAGCCGCGGCGGGGCUUAUAAACCGGUGCGAGCUCCGCUCAACUAGCGAGGUGGGACUAAACAUUGCGCACUGUGGGUGGUAGCGCACCCCUUUAGUACUGGUUGGUGGCACAAACCCGUACUAAAGGGGGGGUCUUUAAUACCGGUUGGAGCCACCAACCCAUACUAAAGGUCACCACCUCUUUAGUACCGGUUCGUGACACAAACCGGUACUAAAGGUUCGCCACGAACCGGUACUAAUGAGUGCCGCCCGCCUAGCCGUUGGAACCGGCACUAAUGGUCACAUUAGUGCCAGUUCAAUUACAAACCGGGACUAAUGAGCUUCACAUUAGGCCCUUUUUCUACUAGUGCAGCUACGGCUGGACGUCCAGUAACCGAUCCAGAGAUGGUAGAUUACAUCCUGGCUGGCCUUGAUCGGGACUAUGAUCCCAUCGUGGCAGCGAUCGGCGUCAUCAAGAACUCCAUCAGCGUCGACGACUUCUUCGUGCAGAUCUCAGUGUUCGAUCAGCGGAUGGAGAUGCUGGGAGACGGACCAGCAGGCUUCCGCUCCUCUGCCAACGCCGUCUACAGGGGGCACAGGCAGUACCGUGGCAGGGGAGGCCGUGGCCGAAGCAGCAGAGGAGGACGCGCCCAAGGGAACCGCUCUUCUCCCUCCCCUAGCCGCGGUGGUGGUGGCGGCCAUCAGCAGCAACGAUUCCGUUCCCAACUGCAACAACAACAACAAGAAGAAGGAGACUACCCAGAGUGCCAGAUCUGUAGGGAUCUACGGUAGGGUGCGUCGACUGCAAAUUAAAAUUUUCCUACGCGCAGAACAACAUGAACAUGCUAUGGGAGAUGGAUCAUAGUUCGUUACCACUAGACGCGCAGUGCCGUGUAGCGGAAGAAGAGUUGGGGCAGCGCUUCUGCAUGGAUCGUCUCCUCCUCGUCCGAUCUCCCUCGAACAGCCGGUCAUCUGAUCCCACGUACAAGUUCGCCAGAGCGGCGCAAGUGCACCGCCUCUAACGGUAUCCGCGCAUGCAGGAGGAACACCGUGCGGUAGACUACUAGGUCCGAUCACACAGUCGGCGGCGAGUGGAGGUGGCUAUUCACAACACAUGCGAACCCUAGUCGCAGCGCCGAAGCGAUCAACCGCAUGAGUGUUCCGCACCUCCACUUUAUAUAUAUAGGCGUCCGUCGCGGGCUCAACACUUGGGCCUCGUACGGAUCCUAAAGCCCACAAGUCUACUCGGCCACAAUCCGAAUACAGCUCGGAUCACAUCUGACCAGUGUCCUCGGAUCCGACCUUGUAGGUUCCUUCCCUUAAGCGCGCGACCCCUUAGGUUCAAGUCGACUUGGUCGCAGUUCGGAUCACCUCCGAACUGCACGGUUGGUAGCGGCCUCUAGCAAGGCAUGCCGAACACCAAGCAGACCAUGAAGCUGGUUAGGCGAACCUGUACAACGUGUCACACUUCUGUUCCCUUUUGCCACACGAUAUAUGUUGUCGGGCUCAAGGCGAGACUGUCAUCCUUGUGCUAGCCCGACCUCUUUCUCGUUCCAGUGAUACCGACCACAAUCCGGAUUAUCUCAUAAUCCUUGUCGCAUGGCCAUGCUUAUCCUGAUCGGAUCACACGAGGGGCCCAGAGUAUAUCUCUCCUGAUCGGAGGGGCAAAUCCCAUCUUGCUCGACCAUGUCUCGCAGCAUGGGACUGGACAAACCCGAAACCUACCUUUGUAACUACCCAGUCACGGAGUGGCGUUUGGUCGGCCCAAAGCAAGUCUGUCACCAUCCUGAGUACAUGCAUCAGCUCGGGUCUUAUGACACAGAAUGUAUGUUGUACUAGAGACUCACAGAUGACAUAUCACUGCGUCUCAUAGUUGGGUCUGUCCGACUCGGACCUUAUCUCGACUCGGAUCCGACUACGUCGUAUCCGACCAGACCAGACCUUUCCAAGUCCAUAUUAUCCUGUUAGCAUCCAAUGCUCCAUGGCUAGUGAGACCGAGCCAUCGACCGUGCCAUAUGCUAGUCUAGUCGGAUGCACGUCCACACAACCCUUUCGACUAGGGACCUUUUAGGACAGUCAUCAUACAAUGCAUAGUCCCACAAACAAGUCACGUACUUGCUGAUACACAUCAUUGAUAAUGUCCAAGGACUAUCUUUAUUCAUAAACACAUAGGAAAUAUCAUCAUACAUGAUUGCCUCUAGGUCAUAUCUCCAACAAGAUCUGCUACAAGUUUCAUGCUGGUGGCGCAAGAGCCUGCUGGCAUCGAUAUGAUGAUGAUCAUGAGGAGAAGAAAGCAGCCAACCUCGUCACCAACAACUACGGUAUCGACACCAACUAGUACGCAGACUCCGGCGCUACUGAGCACAUCACCGGGGAGCUUGACAAGCUAACUAUGCGGGAAAGGUAUCAUGGCGGUGAUCAUAUGCACACGGCAAGUGGAACUGGUAUGGACAUUAAUCAUGUUGGAAAAACAAUUGUUAAAACCCCCGUAAAAGAUUUACACCUUAAUAAUGUCUUACACAUUCCACGUGCUUCUAAGAAUCUCGUUUCUAUUCAUCGCUUUGCCCUUGACAACAACGUUCUCAUAAUAUUUUAUUCCUACUCUUUUGUGAUCUACUCUUUUGUGAUCAAGGAUUUGGCAACGAGGAGAGUCAUCCUUAGAGGAAAGUGUGAGGGAGGCCUAUAUCCACUCAUAUCAUCUUCAUCUUCAUCACGGUCGAAUAAGCAAGCGUGGAGUGUCACCAAACCUUCCUCGGCAAGGUGGCAUAGUUGUAUCGGUCAUCCCUCUUCAGUUAUAGUUCAACAUGUCCUUAGCAAGAAUAAUCUUCCAUAUGAGUCUAGUGUUGAGUCAAUUUGUGAUGCUUGCCAGCAAGCCAAAAGUCAUCAGCUACCUUACCCUAUAUCUACGAGUGUAUCCACUGCUCCUUUGCAGUUAGUUUUUUCCGAUGUAUGGGGACCAGCUCCCACAUCAGUUGGCAGAUUUUCUUAUUAUGUUAGUUUCAUUGAUGAUUAUAGCAAGUUCACUUGGAAUUAUUUGCUAAAGAAACGAUCUAAUGUUUUCCAAGUGUUCCUUAACUUCCAAAACCUCGUAGAACGCCAACUAGACUCAAAGAUUCUUGCUAUGCAAACCGACUGGGGUGGUGAGUAUGAAAAAUUAAAUUCCUUUUUCCAAAAAAUUGGAAUUUCUCACCAUGUCUCUUGCCCCCAUGCUCACCAGCAGAACGGGUCAGCUGAACGCAAACAUCGUCAUGUUGUUGAGGUAGGACUAGCCUUCCUAGCCAAUGCUUCCAUGCCCCUAAAAUUCUGGGAUGAAGCUUUUCUCACUGCCACAUAUCUUAUAAAUAUUCGACCAAGUAAAGUCAUCAAAUUCGAGAGUCCCAUCACAGCCUUUUUGGCAUCAAACCAGACUUCAAAUCCCUUCGAGUCUUUGGUUGUGCAUGUUGGCCAAAACUAAGGCCAUACAACACACGCAAACUUGUGUUUCAUUCAAAAAAAUGUGUGUGUUUGGGCUAUAGCCCUAUGCACAAAGGAGUUAAGUGUCUCGAUGUUCCACCGGCAGAGUUUAUAUUUCUCGAGAUGUUGUGUUUGAUGAAUCAGUUUUCCCGUUUGAAUCCCUUCAUCCUAAUGCCGAUGCUCUCCUUCGUCAAGAGAUUCUUCUUCUUCCAUCUACACUUCGAGAUUUUGAUCACGGGGGAAACAAUUGCACUAACCAACAUGAUGAUAGUAUUCCUACUGGAAUCAGUCCUUGUCUUCCGUGUGUGCAGGUCUCUGAAGAAAACAGAGUUCAAAACGAUCAAAAUGAUCAAAAUCACGUUCAAAACGAAGCUAUAUUGCAUGUGGAACAAGAAGACGAAGCUGGCGCGACGUACGAAGACGAUCUGGCGGCGCCUGCCACUCCUGCGUGCCAAUCCUCCUCGGAUCGGGCGCGGAUAUCCGCCCUGGAUCGCGAGCCAGUCGGCCUGCACGACCAGGGCCGGGCGACGCAAUCAGCGAUCGCCACGUCUUCACGUGUGGAAUCCUCCUUGAGCGCCGGCCCGCGCAUGUAGCCAGCUGCGAGGCGCGGCUCGCACAUGCGGCCAAUAGGCCCACCUGGCGCGGGAUCGGCUAUGGCAACGGGCGGUGCGGUCAUGAGUGUGCAGGCCACACCCGCGGCCACUGGAUCUGGUGUGGCAUCUCCUGGUUCCUCUCCGAGAUCUUCUGGAAGCAGUGAUGUCGUGCGUCCGUGUGUACAACAACCUCCACCAGCCACGUCAGGAGUUACAACUCGGCUACAAAAAGGUAUUAAGAAUCAAAAUAAGAACUGAUGGCACUAUACCGUAUGGUAUGUUGUGCAUUUCAUGUGAGCCAACAAAAUUGAAUGAUGCACUUGGAGAUCAAAAGUGGAAAAAGGCUAUGGUUGAGGAAUAUACAGCUUCAAUGAGAAACAAAACAUGGCACUUGGUGCCAAAUCAGAAAGGUAAAAAUAUCGUUGACUGUAAGUGGGUGUAUAGGAUCAAGAAAAAGGCAGAUGGCUCCAUUGACAGGUAUAAAGCAUGCCUUGUUGCUAAAGGUUUUAAGCAGCAUUAUGGUAUUGAUUAUGAGGAUACAUUUAGUUCUGUGGUAAAAGCUGCAACCAUAAGACUUGUGCUAGCUAUUUUUGUGUCGAGGGGAGGCAGCUAGACGUAAUGCGUUUUUGCAUGGUGUUCUGAAAGAGGAGGUCUACAUGAGGCAACCACCAGGCUAUGAAAACAAAAAAAACUUCAUCAUGUAUGCAAACUUGACUAGGCCCUUUAUGGUUUGAAACAAGCACCUAGAGCAUGGUAGUCUAGGUUAAGUAUGCAGUUGAAACAUCUUGGAUUUAUCGCAUCAAAGGCUGACACAUCUCUCUUCAUAUACAAUAAAGCAAAUACUGUUAUUUUUGUGCUCAUAUAUGUUGAAGAUAUUAUAGUUGCAAGCUCAUCUCAGAAUGCUACUGACGCUCUCCUGCAUGAUCUGAGCUCAAAAUUUGUUUUAAAGGAUCUUGGUGAUUUGAGUUUCUUUUUAGGCAUUGAGGUUAAGAAGGUUCGGGAUGGUAUAGUGUUGAAACAGGAAUAAUAUGCCAUUGAACUCUUGGCUCGGAUGGGAAUGAAGGAUUGCAAGUCUUCACCUACACAAUUAUCUUCAUCAGAAUAGCGGUCAGCAUAUGAAGGGGAGCCACUUAAAGAGGAAUAAAGCACUAAAUACAGAAGUGUUGUUGGAGCAUUGCAAUAUUUAACCUUGACAGGACCAGAUAUUUCAUUUGUUGUUAAUAAAGUAUGUCAAUACUUGCAUGCUCCUACUUCUACUCAUUGGACAGUUGUCAAAAGAAUCAUACGGUAUGUUAAGCACAUUGUGGGUUUGGGACUACAUUUCAGACGUUUCAAUUCUACACUUGUUAGUGCUUUUUCUGAUGCAGACUGGACAGGCUGCAGUGAUGAUAGAAAAUCAACAGGUGGGUUUGCUGUUUUCUUUGGUUCUAAUCUUAUUUCGUGGAGUGCCAGGAAACAAGCAACAGUGUCAAGAUCAAGUACUGAAGCUGAGUACAAGUCACUGGCAAAUGCUACUGCUGAAAUUAUUUGGCUUGAAUCUUUGCUUGAGGAAUUGGGUGUGAAGCAACAUCGUAUUUCAUGCCUAUGGUGUGAUAAUUUGGGUGCUACUUAUUUAAGUGCCAAUCAUGUUUUUCAUGCCAGGACCAAGCAUAUUGAGAUAGAUUUUCACUUUGUACGAGAAAGAGUUGCAGAGAAGAAGUUGGAGAUACGGUUUAUUCCUUCCAGAGAUCAAGUGGCUGAUGGGUUCACUAAAGCUCUACUAUACAAGCCAUUUGAAGCAUUCAAGAACAAUCUCAAUCUAGAAUAGGUAGUUCAGAUUAAGGGAGGAUGUUAGACUUAGAGAUAUUUGCGUUAUGUAAUCUUAACUACUUCUUCUAUCCUUUCCUCUCCCGUUUAACUUCCUAUCCUCAUCCUGCUGAAUCCUAGCGAUCAGUGGGCUUCUUGUAAAUCACAGCAGGGGUUGUUCCUGCCCCCAAUCAAUAAAUACCCGCGGCUCCUCUACGGAAGAGUAGGAAGGCUUCGUCGAUCCAAUCUAACAGUCCUAGCAUUAGCGAAUUUAGCAUGGUGGAUUGACAACAUAGCAAGGUCGAUUGACAACAUCAUCAUGACACGAUGCGUGCGAAGACAAUGUCUAGCAAGGAGACACAUUGCUGUUUGCCGUAGGUACGUGAACGUACGUGGUGUAGAUGGAGGCAGCGUCGACACGCAGAUCUUUUCCCCGUCAUCUUUGACCGUGACACGUGCAUGCCUUGUAGGGUGCGGUCCAUAUGCUUGCAGGCAUAGGAACAAAGUGUUUGUUACCUAGCCCCGUCUCUGGCUUGGCACAUGCACCUGCUGGAUAAUCACCCUCAGCCAGGUGCUUAUGUUUACCUAGCUGUCUAGCAUUUCUUUUUUGAAAUGAAGAGAGGCUAGGAGCCUGUGGUUACGUGUCCUUUUUCGUGAGUCACGUCGACCGGAAGCUUGGUAAUGUGUAGCUAGCCUGCUUCUGCCUGUAGCACAUUUCAGAUCAUUGUGCUCUGUGCAGUGUACAGAAUGAAGCACGACACAUGUGUGCAUGCAAGUGGGUGAUGGAUACAUUUCGAUCCGUGCAUCCCGGUCCUAAUGAGACGCGACACAGAUCUCAUAGCGCGCGGAGCUUGCAUGGAAAGAAUAAUUAACCAGCUGCUGCCAACACGAUAACUCCGAUCCUAAAAAAAACGAUAACUCAGGGAGCACUUUUUUUUUUUUUGAACUCAGGGAGCACAUGAAUGAAUUCACAGACGCUAACAAACUGCAUGGACCAGUACCACCCUAGGAAAUCAAAAGCGCACACAAUUUUUUUUGCGGGGACACACAAUUUUAAUCGAAUCAGUUAACAAAAACGCGGAAGAUCACACAUAGUACUGAAAGUUGACAUGUGAUAUUAAUUACUUUAUUACAAUUGUAGGAGGAGCAACCUCCUUUUGAAGCAAAUAUAAUAGUAGCAGGCAGCGGUACAAGCAUGAGAUCAUAUGUGGCUGAGAACUCGAUCCAUGGUCCAUACAGUACCGUGGCCUAGUUCGAUGACAAGCAGUAGUUCAAAGGAUACUACCCCACACACACACACACACAGAGACACGAGCACACAUGUAAAGUUUAGCAUGCAACUAGCAAGAGCGAUGAUAAAUUAUGAAGCAAAUAACGUAUACGACUAGCUAUAGAGUACUAGUCAAUGGAUGGAUCGUAGAUCAUGCAUGCGAGCUGGUGUACGCAUGCAUGCACGUACGUACGUAUAGUGGAUGCCUGCUGUGGACGAUGGAUCUCUCGGGUCUUCUCUUCUAGCGGGGGCACUGGAAGCCGGAGGGGACGUUCUUGCCGCAGUAGUUGACGAGGAGGCUGAGGUCGAUGGGCACGUUGAGGUUGAUGCCCAGGAUGUUGGCCUUGAGCGCCGUGCAGAGGCACACCGCCGCCUCCAGGUCGGCGAGGCCCUGGAUCAGCGAGCAGCACGGCUGCUUCGGCGGCGUCCCCAGCUGCAGGUUGAUCAGCCCGUUGAGCACGUUGGCGCACACGCCCAGCUUCAGCGCGUCGAUGGGGCACCGCGCGCGCCCGCCUGAUCCGCCUCCUCCCGAUCCGCCACCGCCGGACCCGCCGCCGCUGCUGCCACCUCCUCCUGAUCCGCCUCCGCCGCUGCCGCCUCCUCCAGAUCCGCCUCCGCUGCUGCCGCCUCCUCCAGAACCGCCUCCACCGCUCCCUCCACUGCCACCGCUCCCACCACCACCGCCACCGCUCCCACCUCCACCGCCACCCCCACCGCCGCCCCCUCCGCCGGGGCUAGGGCAGGAUCCGCAGUGGCAGCCGCAGGCGUCGGCGAAGGUGAAGAGGAGCAGGUUCAGGGCCAGCAGCGUGGCGAUAACCGCGGCCUUCUUCGCCAUGGCUACCAAGCUACCAAGCUAGCUACCUCUCCUGCUGCUGUGCGUGUACAGGGUUUAGACUGCCUCAGCCGUGUGUUUGUGUGUGUGUGCAGUACAAGGGAGCCCGGGGCGCUAUUUAUAGCUCAAGAAGGACGGAGGGGGUUCAACUAGGUCCUAGCUCAGCCCACAGAUAUUAUUUUACUCACGCCAUGUGAAGACCGAUCAGACGAUCACCAAGAGCUAGCUGCCCACCACGGGUCCAAGCUAGAACUAGAAGACGACGCAUGCAUGUGAGCUGGCUCUGGGGAAUGGGGAUGGGAUCACAAGGAGAUGGUAACAGACAAGGGAGCUGUUUGUGCUUGGAAGGUUGCCGACUCAAGGGCCAUCACGGCCUAGUGCUGCAGGAAAGAUGGCGUACGGCUCUAUGCCUCUGGCUAGCUAGCAUCCUUUACCGCUGCAGCUUAAGCUUUCCGGUGAAUGAAUUUCCAGCUGCUGAUCGUGCCUGCGCGUGGAGGGUGUCAUGUCGUGUCAUUCCGAUCGGGUGCAUGGUCGAAAUCGAAUGGCUCAAUCAGUCAGCUGGCCACAGUGCGUCCCGUGAUCACCCACUAGCCAGGGUUCAUGGUCUUGCACUACGCGGCACGUACGUACGUUGGUCGUAGGUACACCCAAGAACUCAUGUGCCGACGAGCAGGAGUGGCCGGCCGGUAUGGGCGCGCGCGCGCAGAACUAGGUAACACAUUACAUGAUAAGAGUCAUCGAAACCAUGGCAUUAUUUGCGUAUGCAUGCAUGUUCGUGUUCAUGUUCAUGGGGAAGACGCGCGCACGCAUUUGCUAGUCACCGGCCAGCCGAACAAUCAUAUGGUUGGCUGGUUGGUUUAGGACACCAUCGUAUGCUUAUCAAAUAUUACUCGCAUAACCAUAGCCUAGAUAGAUUCGUGUAUAAAUUAACCAUAUUUUCUGUGAAGGAAAAAUUCAUGGAACCACCAUGAUUUUCGGGACAAGUUAGGGCAUCUCUACCCGACCCCCUAAACAAUAGAGGAGUAAAUGACCGAGUAAAUCCUAGUGAGGUAUUUUUACUACACUAGGCCUUCUUUGGUUCAUAGGAUAGAAAUUUUAUAGGAAUAGAAAAAUCAUAGGAAGUGAGAUGACAUGCAUCUCAAUUCCUAUAGAGGAAGAGAUGUUAUUUGGUGCAUAGGAUAGGAAUUUUUCCAUUGAGUCUAGGCUCAUGUUUUUUUUCCUGCAAAAUGUGAAGGAUUGAAUCCUAUCCUACAUAGGAAUAGGAAUCAAUUCCUACAAACCAAAGGGCUUCAAAAGAAUUUUUCCUUUGCAAAUCCUAUCGUAUAGAAUUCCUAUAAAAUUCCUACAAACCAAAGGAGGCCUAAGUUUUGCUCGUUUCUAGCCGAUUUCCUAAAUUUAGUCGAGUAAAAAACAAACUCAAAGCAAACGAAUAAAAACUCAAUUCAAAAGCAAGUACUUAUUAAGCAUACUAACCGAAAUUCGGUGCCGGUUCAUUAUAUUUUACAAUGUCAUAAACCGAAACUUAGUUAAACUUACUAAUUAACCGAAACCAAGUCUAAAACUUACUAAUUUUAUUCUCUAUCUGUAUCUUCGACGACUUCUUUCCACUCGGCUUUGGACAACCCACCGGUCAUGGGGUCGGGGUCUAUGCCAUAUGAGGAGUCGAAGAUACCGCCCCGGUCGAAGAUGCUACUGACUCCUUUCUGCCAUCAUCGUUGUCGCCUCCGUUGCCUCUGUUGACACCGCGCGUUGUUGCUGUCGUCGCCUUUGUUGCCGCCGAUGUCUUCGUCAUCACUGGAUAGGACAAUGACCAUCGCCCCUGCCACUAGCUGCUCGUACAUGCGGCGCUCUGCUUCCACUUGAUCCGGUUAGAGGCGGCAGAGCUCCGCCAUGUACGCCCCGUCAGAGGCCUCCGCCGGCAAGUGCUCCAUCGCCUCCCGGUUCUCCCUCCUCUCCCACGUGGAGACCACCCGCGGGUCGACGGCAUCUCGUUGAACUCAAAGUUUUGGUGGCCGUCCGUGUCGUGCAGCCGCACGGACCAAAUGUUGUUUUCGCGGGUGGCCUGCUCGGCGGAGCUGAAGCUCCCGAGCCACCGCUUCUUGUGGGUGUGCCAGUCCCUAAUCUCGCCACUCAUGUCCCCUAUGCCUGCUCCCGCACACCGAUGUAUGGCCUUUGUGGCGGCAACAUUGGAGGGAGCACGGGGAAGCCGAGUAGGCGGCUGCGGGAGGCAGAUGGGGCGGUGCGGAUCGGUGCUGUGGACGGGCGGCAGGGAGCGGCAGCCGUGGGACCGGCCAUGGCGGCGCGGGUGGGGAUGCGGGAGCGGUGCGGGGUGGUAGGCGAGGUGUGGGUGGUGGAGGAUUGGAUGGGGGAAGAGGUGGAGAGACAUGCACGUGUUUUACUCGGCAACCGAGCGGUGGAGUAAUUUUAGGUGCUGAGGGGACAUGAGGUAAAUUUUUUUACUUCACUAAUCAAUUUAGGCAAUUGGUUAGAUACCAAUUAGAGAAGAAAAACCAGAAUUUUAGAUCGGCUAUUGUCAUGGCAUCACCCAAACAAUCGAUGUCUUAAGAGCUAACAUAUGACAGGAAACAAUGUCUAACCUUGCUAGAACCAGACAUAACGAUCUAUAGCAUGCUACCCACCUUCUUCCUCCUACUAGGAUUGACCGCCGAACAGGGCGAACACUGACAGGGUGUUUACGAUAACAUUUUCUACAGGAAGUUUACCACGGUACACGCAUGUUCAUGCAUGGGAGACGCCCGUGUGUACCGCGUACGUGUGUGUGUCACCUCCUGCAUAUGCAUGCAUGGGCCUGAUCUGCCCAUGGUUUUGGGUACUAGCAUAGUCCAGCCAGCUGUGAGUUUUUGGCCAUGUUCAAGAAAUCGAAAGCUGUGAGUUUUGGCGACAUAUGUGCGCGCACGUUGCUCUAGGUUAUCCCCAUAACCGUACGAACUCUUCUACCUGGUGCAUGCGUCCAACUUGACAUACAUGCAACCAUACGUACGUGUUGCGCACCUACGCGGUUCCCGGCCGGUCAGUCGGGCCUGUCCUCCUAGUCCUAGGCUAGCUACUGCGCAACGUGUCUCAUCUAUCUUUUAGGUUCGUGUCCUCUUUUGAGUGCCGGUAUAAAACUAAUUAAUUAGUUCCGCUUAGAGCACUCGUAAAGUAGGCUGGUUGUAAUGGUAGUAUCAUAGCUAGUAUUAUGCAUGUCAACUACUUCCUUCGUCUAAGUGUGUAAUUCAUCUUACGAAACCAAAUAAUCUCAAAACACUUAAGCGCGGUGCAUUAACUUCUACCUCGUUUUUUGUUUCUUGACAUAUCAACCAAGAAAGAUGAGGGAUACGUAUACAUGGUUUUAAUGAUUUGAGACUACCAAACAUGACAUGCAGUGGUUAGUUCAUUGCAUGCAAUGCUAUUAAUUAGUAAAUAAACAUUAAAGUCUCUCGUUUUCCCCUCCUCCUUGGUCACGGUGCACAACCUAACGCUUGUCAUAGUGGAGAGUAACUUAGACUAGUAACAUGCAUAUGUUACUAAUCUAUAUUACUACCUCUAUAAUGCAUAAUAUCAUAUAUAGGUGGUCUCAUUUAUUGCCAUGCAUGACACAUAGUAGCAUCACAUUUAUUAUGUUACUGUAUCUACCUAUGUUACUAUAACCAUCUUUUUUUUAAUUGCCUGUCACGUAAGUAUGUUUGCGAGUCCCAAGUGCAUGAUACUACUUAUGUUACCCCCACUAUGGCCAGUCUAAGAUGACUUACUCAUCUAGACGGAGGGAGUAGGCAAUUUUGAUGAGGUGUCAUAUAAUUAAAUGAAGAAAGAAAGAGUUGAGUAUCUUAUCAUGAUACCAUAUCAUAAUAAAUGUUAUAAUACUAUAUGUGAUACAUGUCAAUAAAUAAAGUACUACAUGAUACUAAUAUAUGAUACUAAGCAUUAGGGAGGUAGUAUCAUACACUAGUAUCAUAUACAUGAUAUUAGUAUAUGAUACUCCCCAUUACAAUCAGCCUAAGUAAGAAGAGGCGUAUCCUCCUCCCGGUCUGGUUGGCACAACUUUGAAGCGACCCGGACAUGUCCGGAGCCUCCCAUUCAGGCCGCAAAGGCUCACGGACAAAGCCCCAAAGAAACUGUGUCGUCGGGCAUGAGAAUAAGAUGUGUGCCCCCAUCCCCGGGACCACACAGAGGGGCACAUCCUAUCCCAAGGUCGUGUUGCUUGAACAUAUAUCUCGGCUGGAUGAGUGCAUGUUGGCGGUGUUUUUUUCCCAACAUGGCGGCAUAGAUGGCUAACCAAGGAUGAUGCGGAUCUUUUUCUGAAGAUGGGUCAGCGAUACGAUGGCGACAGCGGCUUUUAAAGCGUGUGCAGGCGGUGUGCGCUUUGGCACUGCUGCAUCGAGUGUUUGCUCCUGGUACGCUAUGCAGGCAGAUCGGCGGAGACACCGACUCUAGAUGGUGAGGCAUUAGCACAUUUCCCAUUAUCAAGUUUGUAGAUGUGGUUAAUGGCUUCAGCUUGUUUGAUGUAUGCUCUUGUCAGACCUUUGUUGAAUACUUCCUCCGUCUGGAAAUACUUAUCGAGAAAAUGAAUGUAUCUAGACGUAUUUUAGUUUUAGAUACAUCCAUUUUUAUUUAUUUCUGUGACAAGUAAUUCCGGACGGAGGGAGUAAUUAAUAGUAAUAUGGAUGUAUGCAUCGCUCGAUGCAGUAGCUGUGGCUUGCUCCCCUUUUCGAGAAAAGAUGAGAGACGAUCCACGGCAGUUUCCAAACAAAGAUUAUGACGUCUGGGUUUUUGUCAAUCGUAUGGUCGUUAUUUUCACGAUUGUCCCCUAAUUAAUUAUGUGGUGUGUGUGGGCUUUUGCCAGUGUUUCUCAGUUAACCGUGCAUUGUAUGGUUUUCUUUUUGCCUGGUUAUCCCUAAUUAACCAGGUAAUUCUCUUAUUUUUUAUGAAAUGCAGGAAUGCUUGCCCCUCUUGAGGUGUUCUAAAAUCAACUACAUUUUAGAGAAAAGUACGUGACUGCAUUUAGCAAAACUGUAAUUUAAUAUCACCAAAAAUAAUAGUUAGACUAAUAUACUAGAUAUGUUCACAUGUAAAACAACGUGAAUAUCUUAGGCCGGCUAUCGCUAAUUGGUUUAGAGACUUAGGUAUAUUCACGUAUCUUACUUUUUAAUCUAUCAUGCAUGUUGGAUGUCUUAACAAGAUUAUAGCAUGGUAGAAGUUGCGUACCUCAAUGUCUUCAUAUUUAAGUCCAUGAACCCCGGUUGGAUGAUCUAUCAUCACUUUGCAGCAAGUUUCUACUGGGAAACUCAAGAUGUCGUUGGAAAAAUGUGAUUUUUAGUUGGUAUUUGUGUCGAGGCAUGUGUUAACUAAAGACAACUUGAACAAGCAUAACUUAAUGGAAGUAAGAAGUAUGUGCUUUUCUGCGAUGGCGAGGAAACAAGGAUCAACAUUUGUUACUUCCAUGUCUAUUUAAGUGAUGUGGCAGGUAGUGCUCGUGGCUUGUAGCCUACCACCUCCAACAACUACCAUUCCAUGUACGUUGGCGAAUUGGUAGUCAGGGGCUAGUAAAACAUCUUAAAGCCGACAUCCGGAGCGAGUGUGUGCUUUAUGUUAGACUACAUAUGGAUAUGUUGUAAUGUUAUUGUACAUUUUAAAAAUGCUUGAUCUUUUUUUAAUGGCAUCCAAACUUUUUUUUAUAAAAAUAAUAAUAUUUCAUUUACAUAAUAUUGUAUAAAAUACAUUUUUUAGUUUUAAAACAAAGUAUGGGAAAGUAAAAUAAAAAUAACCUAAAACUUAAAAAGCUAGAAAACCAAAAACCAAAAGACAUAAAAACCGGAAAACUGAAAAAUAAAAAUCACUGAAAUGGCGCCUGUAGUACUCGGUUAACCCACUUAGUUACCUAGCACACACGAGUCAUGACGCAGAGCUGGGCCGACUCAUGGACGCUCCAGCCUAUGCGUUUCCUCGACAUUUUGUCGCACAUAGCGACGAAUAUGGCCUCUCUUGUGGCCAUAGUGGUAAAUACGCAAAGCGUUGCCUUAAGGAUUUGAUGAUGGGCCGGCAACAUAGAGGAGAGCCCGCUUUUAUAUUUGCAUCUUCUAUGAAAUGUUUAUUUUGUUGUAUUCAUUUUUCCUUUUUAUAUAUUAUUAUUUUUUACUUUCUAAUAACUUUUUUCCACAUGUUUCAUUCUAGUUCUUUGGCGUGGGGGAUAUGUAAACUUUUUUAUUAUUAUAUGAACAUAUACUGUAACACACCAGAACAUUUUUUGUCAAAUGUAUGAACUUUAAGAAACAAAUGCAUGGACAUCACGCACAUUUUUCUAGAAGACAGUGAACAGUUUUUCCAAAUAUACGAACAACUUUUCUAGAUAAACUAUUGUUUUAAUACGGACAAAAUUGAUUAUUUACCUAUAUUUUUAGAAAAUGUUAGUUUUAAACAUGAGCAUUAAAAAAUUUGUUUUAGAGGGCUACAAUGUAGCUGGCGGCCGGAAUAUAAACUAUGUUUUUGUAUGUGUUACUUUUCCUUUCGCCUUUUUCAUUCUUUUACCAUUUAUGGUCUCGGUUUUAUUCCUUUUUUGGUGUUGGGGUCGAGGGGAGGUGGGGGUACACGAACAAUUUCUCAAGUGCAUGAUCGUGCAUGGACAUUUCUAGAAAUGAUAUACUUUUUUUAAACAUGUACAAGUUUUUUGCAUGUAAGAAUUUACCACAAACUAUUUUUAAUACGAGAUGAACAUUUUCUUCUUCAAAAAUGGGCUUCCAAUAUAUAUGUCCAAAACAUUUUUCCAAAUAAAAUUUUAAGUAAAUAAACUUUUGGUAUGGAAUAAUAUAUUUUUGAACAAAAAAUAUAUAAAAUUAUUGGGUCAGACCAUAACUCAGACCAUAACAGUACUAAUGCUGUUUGGUUCCUGGGUAUAGAUACAUUUGAUAUGACAAUAAUUUGAAAUAAUUUCGGAAAAAUUCAAAAAAAAUCUAAACUUUUUUUGGAAUAAACUUGAAUUUCUUUUAGACUAGUUUAAAGUUUUCAUGAAGGGAAAAAACCCCUUGACUUCAAGGAAAAAUAUAAUAAAAUAUAUUGCUAUAUAAAGGCACCAUUCACACCUAUUUGACCAUAAAUUUUAUAUUGUUGUCCAAAGUCAACGAGUUUUUUGUGAAUUAUUUUAGAGUACAAUAGAAGGUGAAAGUUUAUUUCAAAAAUAUUUUCAUACCUUUUUGAAUAUUUAUUUAAUUACUAUAAUUUGCAUAUAUGGUGUAUAUACACAUAGGAACCAAACGGUCCUGUCAUGGUUUUCAAGGGAAAUAUACUUGUAGAGGUGCCAAAUAUAGUCCUUGCAGCAUGACAUGGAGUAUCUGCUGCUGAGCUUAUGAAUAGUAAAAAUGAAAAAAUGUCACAAAAUUCUGAAUUUUUAAAGAAAAUAAAUAUUGAUGAGUCGUCUAUGUAUGUACACGUUUUGGUGUGAAGGAAAAAAAAGUCCUAAAUAGUCUAAAAAACAAAAAUUAUGUUCCGAAAAGACUUUUUUUUAAGAGAAAUUUAGAGCAAUGAUUUUGUUUGUUUGCCCAGAGCAUUACGAAUGUUCUUUCUUCACAAAAAUUUGCACGUAUGUACAAAAUUCGUCAAUGUUUGUUACCAAUCAAUUUCAUUAUUUUUUGCUUUUUUUAAUUUUACUUUCAUGAGGGAGUAUUUGAGCUCGAGCAGAAUGGUACUUUGAGUUUUAAGGAGUGGUACACUUUCUAAAAAUGAAGUUAUAACUGGCAAAUAUAAAAUUAUCAAUAAAUCAAAGAGAAAAUAGUAUGGUGUAAUUUACUUACACCUAUAUACGUAGCAAUUUAUUAUUGUUAUGGACUGGACUAACUUUCAAUGGUCGGAAGAUUACAAAAUAUUCGAACACUCUCUUUUUCUUUCUAGCUAAUCACAUACCUACUUCCCAUUUUGCUACUAGCUAAUUGUGUUCAUGACGGAGGAACCUCAGUCAACCGGCGUUGACUCACGAUUCCAUGGAUGCAAACUAAUGACAAAACAGAAGAUUUCAGCAAAGGAUUCUUCCUAUUUUGAAACGUUAACAUAUUUUGUAACUCAAAUCAUCACUUCGAUUCAAAAUUCAUUUUUACAUAAAAAUCACCGCGACAAGAUCAUCAAAAGUAGAUCCCAUCUUGGUAUGUUUCUCACCUCUUUUAGUUCAAAAGGUACCACACCUGGACUACAUAAAUUAUCACGCCUAUAGUUCGUAACUUAUCAUGGUGUUUACACAAAAAUUACCGGGGUGUGUUUCAAGUACUUUCUUUUGUCCGAGUCAAAAUUUACCAUGGUAGUUGUAAGUAAAUAUCAGGUCUGUAAAUGCCAUCUUCUACCAUCGGUGUCAUGUCUGGGCUGCGAGGUGAGGUCCAUGUGCCGAUACAACAUGGCCCAUUUAUAAAAUGGAACUUUGUGGGUCGUGCCGGGCCAAACCCUUUUAGGCAUGUUCCGGCCGUGCAGUGCCCAGGCCGGCCCGUUGACCACCUUUGAUCAGGUCUAUUGUGCGUAAAGUACCAUGAUGUUUGCACAAAAGUUACCGAGGGUAGGGUAUGUUAUUCAACAACUUCUUUUGCUCAGAUCAAAAUUACCGUGAUGUUUCUACAUAAAUUAUUAGGUCUGCGGUCAAAUAUUACCAUGUUAUUUACAUAAAUUAUCGAGAUUGUGUUUCAAAAAACCUAGUCAAAAGUAACCAUAGUGUUUGCAUGUGAGUUAUCAGCUCUGGUUUGUGUAUACUACCUUGUUAUUUACCCAGAAAUUACCGGGAUGUAUUUUUGAACAACUUUUGUUCCUGGGUCAAAAAAAGUUACCAUAAUGUUUAUACGUGAGUUAUCAGCUCUGUUAUGCAUAUAUUAUCAUGCUAUUUGCACACAAGUUACAUCGAGUUUUUCCCCUCCACCACCAUACUAUGGAGGCGUAGACAUGCCCGUCAGUUCAUUCGAUGACCAUCACUACACAUCAUUUUAUUUAAAAUGUUGUCUUGUUGGCGAGUAGAAUAAAUGGUUGCUAUUUACACAAGAGUAACCAGGGUUAGGGGAUGUUUUUUUAAGAAAAAAUCCUUGGUAAAAAAAGUUACCGCACGUGGGUGAACUAAGUUAUUAGCUCUGUUGCCGUAUAUCACCAUGUUACUUGCACAUGAGUUACUGGGGACUUUUUUCAAUAACUUCUAAAAAAAAAGAAUGGUGGGGCAAGAGAUCGAUUUCUGUCCCAUGCCCAUGGUUUUUUGACUUAAGACGAAAAACAAACUUUAAAUGGCAGUACAUGAUAAUUAGGAGCCCAUUAAUCAUGCCAACUAAGAUAGGGGGAAUUAAAUCAUGCUAAUUAAGAGUUAAAAGACUAAAUCGGGUCAAUUAAUAGACCCCGCAAUUAAAAUGACGUUAGUUAAGGAGACACAGAAACUGAAAGUAUGGAAGGCUCGCGCGAGACCUCACGAUAAAAAAUCGAUGGCAUCCAGAUUGUUCGGAUCUAUAGCAAAAAUCAGAACGGUCGGAAAUUAUCUUUCUCGUUAACUCAUAUGGUUACUUCUGAACUAUGAAUAAAAAACAUCGAUAACCACGCAUGUACACCUGUGAAAAACCUCGCAGGGAAAAAACAUAUUUCUCAUUUUAUUUCGAGUGAGUGUGCGCGAGAGGAAGACACCUUAGAACUGACCGCAUUCAAACACGCUUUCAUUGUGUGAGCAUUGAGACCACCAUCAACAACACAAACGUGAUGCCAUGUGAAAAUAAAGGACGUGAACACAUUAGGGUCUUGAUUCAUGGUUAUGGGGUUAAAAACGUGUGUUAUUUACUCUCUUUGUUGCAACGCACGAGCUCUUUUACUAGUAAAACUAAAGGGAAGAUGUACACCACCUCCAAAGGACCUUGUAAGGGUUGGGGAUGGGUGGCCAGACCAGAGGUCCCUUGUAAGCUCAUAUCGACUAUAUAAAUAUUGCGGCAAUGUGACACCAUUGCCUUUUGAGGGUCUUGUCACUAGUUUAUUGCGUCUCUUGUCAAAGGAUCUCCAAAUGGCCUUGCUUCAUACUCAAGCCACUCGUCUUGAGAUUCCCUCAUCACCUCUCUAAGAAAGGAGAUGGCCAUGCUUCAUGAGCCAACACAACCUAAUUAAGGGCAUCUCCAACGCCGACUCUCAAAUUGCUCGCAACCGCCUGGACCGCGCGGUCUAGACAUGUUUUGCGAUCCAACACGGUCCUGAAUCAGUCCGUUCGGCAGUCCGGGCGCACUUUUUUCCAUAAACCAGAGACAAACAUGGGGUGGGGGCUUUACGGGGGUCCAGACUGCAGCCCCACCCGUGCCUAGAAACCAUGAACCACCCAAAAACCAUCUUCCUUGCCUGCGCACUUUCCCAUCCGACGUUGGUUAGUGCCGGUACAGAGCGUGAGAGCUGCAUUCAUGCUGGCCCAAAGCAGAGGUGACCUCUCACUGAGUCGUCAUUGAAGCGGCCGCCGGCUGAUAGCGCCACCUCCGCCGCUUCACAGUGCUCGCGACGUCUCUUCGCACUCAAAUGACACCAGUCCAUCCACCUCCCUCCAUUAAACGGACGUGAUUGCCGAGGAACCUACUCCGGCGCCACUAGUCCGUUUGUCCGUCAGCCGCCUACCGUUAAGGAUCGUGCUGCAUGGCUUGCCCUCUGCCUGCUAUUCAAACCCUAGGAUGGCAACACAACCACAUCAAUCCACCAUCAUCCGCUCUGCACCACACCUGCCAUAGACUCCUCUAGCUCCAAAGCCUUGUGGCACGACCUCUCGUCCAAACAUAAGAAGGAGAUCACCGCCAUUGUGGCCGGCUGGCAGGCCAUAAACGGACGAUCUCAUAGGAGGCCGGCACUGUGGACGCGCCAUUGAAAGGGGCGAACAAUGAGCCGACACCACUCUGCAUGCCGGCCAAUGCUGGCAUCACCAUGGGCAAGGUCCAUGCUCAGUACACACUGACAUGGUGCUAGAGGAGCGGGAGGCGCAUUCCGCCAGGUGCAGGCCGACUAGGCCUACAAUCUCCGCCUCCUCGACGAAUACCAGUGCACGCUAGUCGCUGCCAGAACAAGCAUUGCAGCGGACAUGGAGGUGGAUGGGUAGGAGGCACUAAUCCAGUCCUACAGCUCCAACCGCGACAUCCGCCGGAACCGCUGGUGCUACCACCAGUAUUAGGCAGAAUUAGAGGCCACCUACUGGGAGAUGGACGAGGCGGUAGGUGAAGUUUUCAGGCCCGACGACGAUGGCGGGGAGGAGGUUGGCAGCUCAUCAACGGCCGCGGCUCGACGCCACGACUAUGAUGUUGACAUCAAGGAAGAGUACAAUAUAGGAGGGCACCGACGCUCGUGUCCCAGGAAGGUCACUGCUCUUCUGCUCCUGCUAAAGCUAAACUUGGCGGGCUGAUCGUACACCGGCCAAUUUGGUGCUUGCAGGCUGCAGAGGCGGAGCUGGAGCUGGAGCUUCAGUUUCUGGGGCUCAUGGCUGGUCAAACACGGGGAAUGGGUGUGUGCGGUUAUUCAGACUAGAUUCAGUUAAAAAGUCCGAAAUGUGAUGAAUAUGCUUCGGUGACAAGCCAAGGGAAAUGUUCAGUUUAGACUUGGCACUGGUGCCCGCAUUUCUUAGAUAUAUUUUAGUCUUUCCUGCAAUGUUCAUUUAGUGAGAGGAGAUAUUGCCAUCGAGUACGAAGUUCGUCAAUCUUAAGAUGUUGUGUCGGCUCAGUACCUCGAAUGUGCUCAUUUGUAAAAUUUAUUCUAAUUCUUUUGGUGUGCUCUGAUUUUGUGUUUGAAUGUGCCAUAUAGGCCACUGAUAUGGAUUUUUUUAACACCGUAUUGACGCAGAUCAUACUUACGUACAUACACUCACCCCUAUGAACGCAUGCAUGCAACCACUAUUCAUAUGAGCACCUCCGAGAAACUGAGCCGACACAUCAUCUUGAGAUUGACGAAGUUGUUAUAGACACCUUCGUAGUUGACGGGAACGUCUCCCCCCACGAAACACACUUCACCAAAAGGCCUGAAAUAAGUUCAGGAAAAUGCGAGCAUUAAUGUCAAGUCUAGUACUUAAACUCUGGUGAGCUAUGGCCUAUGGAUACCGGUCCUUCUAAUCAUCCAACCACAGAUUGAUUCGCGGCACAUGAUUUUACUGGUCUUGUGCUUGGUAGCAGUGCAUUGGGUGGGUCUUGCCUGAUUUAUUCUAAAUAUAAUGUAAUGGCGGAAUUUUCGCCCUGCUUUGUCAGGUUUGGAGAAAAAAACAUGUCCGUUGAAGAACUAUGGCAGAAAUACACCACAUGGUUGUUCCAUUCCUUUGAAAACUCGUAACUCUGGUGGGUUUUUCUAAAACUUUCAAUCUAUUCAUCAUAUGUCUUAUCAGUACAAAUAACACAUAAAUAAUAACAAUUACAUUCAUGUUCAUAAACCACCUAACGGUAACUAACUAUCAUGGUUAAUUAUUUGCCACUUAAAAAUCAAGCAAUAUUGCUUAUUUUACCUGACACAUUCACUGGGCGUUAGUGCAUGGGUAGAUGAUUAUUAACCCUUAGAAGUAAUAAACAUGACGGCAUAUGUUUCUACCUAUCGUUCCUGGACCAUGCCAGCAUUCAGAUGCAUACAUCAAGAGGUUCACUCGGACGGCUCUGCGGCACUCGGAUGAACACAUGUCACUCGGCUGAUAGACCAUCACUCGAACCUAGAAAACAGGAGGGCGUCGCAUGAGCUACAACGGUCAAGGAACCCUAAGUCGUCCACUAAAUAGAGUUAUAGCUACGGUUACCUGUACUUUAAUAGAGGCUCAUUAAUUACAUCAGUAACUGUCUCAUUCAAUGACAUUAAUUGCCUUAGCGGCAUGGGAGACAUACGGCUACAUUUCACUCUAUAUAAGCCGUUUCCCUCUCCAUAGCCGGGUACGUUCAACCCUUGUAACCAUAUCCAUCAAAUCAAAGCAUGCCUCAGGGCACGAGAUGUAGGGCUUUUACCUCCACCGAGUGAGGGGCCUGAACUCGUUAAACACCGAGGGUUACACCUACACCGUAGCUAGUCUCCACCCUUAUUCGUGCCCCUAGUACUCACUGUCAGGAUCAUAACCGUGUGGCUAGGCGUCUAGCAAAAUUUCAUGGUGUAGGUGGAUUUCUUCUUCAUCAUCAUCAUGUCAGUCGGCGGCGAAAUCCGCUUCGGGACGAUCUCCUUCAUCGCCGAUGACUCAGUGUGGCUGAGCGAGGCCCUGCUGGACGUGGGGGCGUUGCCCGUCCGUGGCGCGUCAAACUUCCGUGCUUCCUCAUACAGAGUCCUUCUCCAACAGCCCUUGGCUCCAUACCGAGUGGUUGCCCAUCCCGCCAUUGUGCGUCGUCGCAAGUGCUCUGGGCGUUCGCGGCUGCAACGCUAGGUCAAGCACACUGUCACCACUCCGGCGGCGAUGAAACAAGUGACGACCAUCGAGUUCGAUGAGCCCGCCCUCGACCUCUCCGAUGGAUCACUUGGCAAUUCCUCACAGGAGUCUGAGUCUGAAAGCAUCGAGUCGACUAUUGAGAUUCUCAUGGCAGAUAGCUCUGAGCAUCGCUAAUGUCUACUACACAACCUUCUUCUUGUAGACGUUGUUGCGCCUGCAAGUGCACUGGUUUGUAGGACAGUAGCAAAUUUUCCUCAAGUGGAUGACCUAAGGUUUAUCAAUCCAUAGGAGGCGUAGGAUGAAGAUGGUCUCUCUCAAACAAACCUGCAACCAAAUAACAAAGAGUCUCUUGUGUCCCCAACACACCCGAUACAAUGGUAAAUUGUAUAAGUGCACUAGUUCGGCGAAGAGAUGGUGAUACAAGUGCAAAAUAGAUAGUAGAUAAAGGUUUUUGUAAUCUGAAAUUAUAAAAACAGCAAGGUAACAAGCGAUAAAAGUGAGCACAAACGGUACUGCAAUGAUAGGAAACAAGGCCUAGGGUUCAUACUUUCACUAGUGCAAGUUCUCUCAACAAUAAUAACAUAGAUAGAUCAUAUAACAAUCCCUCAACAUGCAACAAAGAGUCACUCCAAAGCCACUAAUAGCAGAGAACAAACGUAGAGAUUAUGGUAGGGUACGAAACCACCUCAAAGUUAUUCUUUCGGAUCGAUCUAUAAAAGAGUUCGUACUAGAAUAACACAUUAAGACACAAAUCAACCAAAACCCUAAUGUCACCUAGAUACUCCAUUGUCACCUCAAGUAUCCGUGGGCAUGAUUAUAUGAUAUGCAUCACACAAUCUCAGAUUCAUCUAUUCAACCAACACAAAGUACUUCAAAGAGUGCCCCAAAGUUUCUACCGGAGAGUCAAGAACGUGUGCCAACCCCUAUGCAUAGGUUCAUGGGCGGGACCCGCAAGUUGGUCACCAAAACAUACAUCAAGAGGCACAUGAUAUCCCAUUGUCACUAUAGAUAAGCACGUCAAGACAUACAUCAAGUGUUCUCAUAAAAGAUUCAAUCCGAUAAGAUAACUUCAAAGGGGAAACUCAAUUCAUCACAAGAGAGUAGAGGGGGAGAAACAUCAUAAGAUCCAACUACAAUAGAAAAGCUCGGGAUACAUCAAGAUUGUGCCAUAGAGGGAACACGAGAGAGAGAGAGAUCAAACACAUAACUACUGGUACAUACCCUCAGCCUCGAGGGUGAACUACUCCCUCCUCGUCAUGGAUAGCGCCAGGAUGAUGAAGAUGGCCACAGGUGAAGGAUCCCCCCUCCGGCAGGGUGCCGGGAAGGGCUCCUGAGAGGUUUUUGGUGGCUACAGAGGCUCGCGGCGGAGGAACUCCCUAUCUAUCUUCUCCGUGGAUGUUUUUAGGGUACGUGGGACUAUAUAGGCGAAAGAAGUCAGUCGGGAGGUGCUCGAGGGGCCCACGAGAUAGGGGGGCGCGCCCUAUAGGGGGGGGGGGCGCCCUCCUAUCUCGUGGAGUCCUCGAGUAUCUUCUGACUUGAACCCCAUGUCUCCAGAAUGAUAUUCUUCCAAAAAAAUCACGUUGACGAAGGUUGCAUUCUGUUUGGACUCCGUUUGAUAUUCCUUUUCUUCGAAAUACUGAAACAAGCAAUAAAACAACAAUAUGGGCUGGGCCUCCGGUUAAUAGGUUAGUCCCAAAAGUAAUAUAAAAGUGUAUAAUAAAGCCCAUAAUUGUUCAAAAUAGGUAAUAUAAUAGCAUGGAACAAUCAAAAAUUAUAGAUACACUGGAGACUUAUCAAGCAUCCCCAAGCUUAAUUCCUACUCGUCCUCGAGUAGGUAAAUGAUAAAAACAGAAUUUUUGAUGGGGAAUGCUACCUAGCAUGAUUCUCAAUGUAAUUUCUCUUUAUUGUGGCAUGAAUGUUCAGAUCCAAAUGAUUCAAGACAAAAGCUUAUAAAACAUAAGAAAUAGUAAUACUUCAAGCAUACUAAGCAAAGUAAUCAUGUCUUCUCAAAAUAACAUGGCCAAAGAAAGUUAUCCCUACAAAAUCAUAUAGUCUGGAUGUUGCUCUAUCUUCAUCACACAAAGUAUUUAAUCAUGCACAACCCCGAUGACGAGCCAAGCAAUUGUUUCAUACUUUAAUAAUCUCAAACUCUUUCAACUUUCACGCAAUACAUGAGCGUGAGCCAUGGACAUAGCACUAUAUGUGGAAUAGAACGGUGGUUGUGGGGAAGACAAAGAAGGAGAAGAUAGUCUCACAUCAACUAGGCAUAUCAACGGGCUAUGGAGAUGCCCAUUAAUAGAUAUCAAUGUGAGUGAGUAGGGAUUGCCAUGCAACGGACGCACUAGAGCUAAAAAUAUAUGAAAGCUCAACAAAAGAAAACUAGGUGGGUGUGCAUCCAACUUGCUUGCUCACGAAGACCUAGGGCACUUUGAGGAAGCCCAUCAUUGGAAUAUACAAGCCAAGUUCUAAUAAUGAAAAAUUCCCACUAGUAUAUGAAAGUGACAACAUAUGAGACUCUCUACCAUGAAGAUCAUGGUGCUAUUUUGAAGCACAAGUGUGGAAAAAGAGAUAGUAGCAUUGUCCCUUCUCUCUUUUUAUCUCAUUUUUUUUCUUUUUUUCUUUUUUUUCUUUCUCUUCUUUUUUUCUUUGGCCUUCCUUUUUUUUCUUUUUGACCUUUCUCCUUUUUUUCUUCUUUUUUUUUCUUUUUGUAAAGUCCGAAGUCUCAUCCCGCCUUGUGGGGGAAUCAUAGUCUUCAUCAUGCUUUCCUCACUAGGACAAUGCUCUAAUAAUGAAGAUCAUCACACUUUUAUGGAUUUACAACUCAAAGCUAGAACAAGAUAUGACUCUAUAGGAAUGCCUCCGGCGGUGUACCGGGAUAUGCAAUGAAUCAAGAGCAACAUGUAUGAAGAUUAUGAAGGUGGCCUUGCCACAAAUACGAUGUUAACUACAUGAUCAUGCAAAAAGCAAUAUGACAAAAGUAAUGUGUGUCAUAAUGAUAAUGAACGGAACGGUGGAAAGUUGCAUGGCAAUAUAUCUCGGAAUGGCUAUGGGAAUGCCAUAAUAGGUAGGUAUGGUGGCUGUUUUGAGGAAGGUAUAUGGUGGGUGUAUGGUACCGACAAAAGUUGCGCGGCACAAGAGAGGCUAGCAAUAAUGGAAGGGUGAAAGGGUGCGUAUAAUCCAUGGACUCAACAUUAAUCAAAAGAACUCAUGCACUUGUUGCAAAAAUUUAGAAGUCAUCAAAAACCAAAGCACUAAGCGCAUGCUCCUAUGGGGAUAGAUUGGUAGGAAAAUACCAUCGCUCGUCCCCGACCGCCACUCAUAAGGAAUACAAUCAAUAAAUAAAAUUAUGCUCCAACUUCAUCACAAAGCGGUUCACCAUACGUGCAUGCUACGGGAAUCACAACCCUUAACACAAGUAUUUUUCAUAAUCACCUCAACUAGCAUGACUCUAAUAUCACUACCUCCAUAUCUCAAAACAAUUAUCAAGUAUCAAAUUGAUCAUAGCAUCCAAUUCACUUCCUAUGAAAGUUUUUGUUCAAAUUACCAUGCUGUUUAAGACUCUCAAAGUAAUAUAAGUGAAGCAUGAGAGUUCAUUAAUUUCUACAAAAUAAAACCACCGCCGUGCUUUAAAAGAUAUAAGUGAAGCACUAGAGCAAAUGACAAACUACUCCAACAAGAUAUAAGUGAAGAUCAAUGAGUAGCUAAAUAAUUAAGCAACUAUGUGAAGACUCUCUCUCAUUAAAGAAUUUCAUAUCUUGGUAUUGUAUUCAAGCAGCAAGCAAAAUAAAAUAAAAUGACAUUGCAAGGAUAGCACAACUCAUGUGAAGAAGCAAAAACUUAGGCUCAACCGAUACUAACCGAUAGUUGUUGAAGAGGAAAGUUGGGAUGCCUACCGGGGCAUCCCCAAGCUUAGAUUCUUGAGACUUUUUGAAAUAUUAUCUUGGGGUGCCUUGGGCAUCCCCAAGAUUGAGUUUUUAUGUCUCCUUAAUUCCUCUCUUAUUAUGGUUUCUCUUUUUAUCAAAAGCUUCAUUCACAACAAACUCAACAAGAACUCGUGAGAUAGGUUAGUAUAAACCAAUGCAAAACCAUAUCAUAUUCUACUGUAAAAAAUCACUAACAUUAUUAUUCAACAUUGAAUACUAAAUGUCUCUGCAUAUUUAAUACUCCUAUCCUCAAAUAGAAUUAUUAAACAAGCAAACAUAUGCAAACAAUGCAACCAUAACAGCAAUCUGUCAAAACAGUACAGUCUGUAAAGAAUGCAAGAGUAUCAAUACUUCCCUGACUCCAAAAAUUAUGAACUAAAAUUCUCACUGUAAUAAAUUUAUCAUAUCUUAAUAUUCAAAAAGAUUCAAUGUUAGACCAUUCUCUGACUUUUCUAGGGAAUUUUUGCAACAGCGGUAAACUUUCUGUUUUCAAACAGCAACAUGUAUACUAGCAAAAUAAGCAUGGCAAAGGCUAUCCUUGACAUUUUUAUUGAAACUAAAGAUGAAAAACAUUAUUCUAACUAACAGAAAGCAAAAACUAGCAAAAUAAAAUGACGCUCCAAGCAAAACACAUAUCAUGUGGUGAAUAAAAAUAUAGCUCCAAGUAAAGUUACCAAUGAACGAGGACGAAAGAGGGGAUGCCUUCUGGGGCAUCCCCAAGCUUAGUUGCUUGGUUGUCCUUGAAUAUUACCUUGGGGUGCCUUGGGAAUCCCCAAGCUUAGGCUCUUGCCACUCCUUAUUCCAUAGUCCAUCGAAUCCUUACCCAAAAUUUGAAAACUUCAACCACACAAAACUCAAAACAAAACUCGUAAGCUCCGUUAGUAUAAGAAAAUAAAACAACCACUUAGGUACUGUCAUGAACUCAUUCUUUAUUCAUAUUGGUCUAAAACCUACUGUAUUCCAACUUCUCUAUGGUUCAUAUCCUCCGAUACUACUCAUAGAUGCAUCAAAAUAAGCAAACAACACAAUGAAAACAAAAUCUGUCAAAAACAGAACAGUCUUUAGUAAUCUGUAUCAAACGUAUACUUAUGGAACCCUAACAAUUAUGAAAUAAAUUGCUGGACCUGAUAAAUUUGUCUAUUAAUCAUCGUCAAAAAGAAUCAACCUAAAAUCACUCUCCAGUAAAAAAUGGCAGCUAUUCUCGUGAGCGUUAAAGUUUCUGUUUUUCACAGCAAGAUCAUAUAAACUUCACCCAAGUCUUCCCAAAGGUUCUACUUGGCACUUUAUUGAAACAAAAGCUAUAAAACAUGAUUACUACUGUAGAAUAAUCAUGUUAACACACAAAAACAGUAAGGAUAAAUAUUGGGUUGUCUCUCAAUAAGCGCUUUUCUUUAAUGCCUUUCUAGCUAGGCAUGAUGAUGACAAUGAUGCUCACAUAAAAGAUAAGAAUUGAAACAUAAAGAGAGCAUCAUGAAGAAUAUGACUAGCACAUCUAAGUCUAACCCACUUCCUAUGUCUAGGUAUUUUGUGAUCAAACAACUUAUGGGAACAAUAAUCAACUAGCAUAGGAAGGUAAAACAAGCAUAACUUCAAAAUUUUAAGCACAUAGAGAGGAAACUUGACAUUAUUGUAACUCCUACAAGCAUAUGUUCCUCCCUCAUAAUAAUUUUCAGUAGCCUCAUGAAUGAAUUCAACAAUAUAACCAGCACCUAAAGCAUUCUUUUCAUGAUCUACUAGCAUAGAAAUUUUACUACUCUCCACAUAAGCAAAAUUCUUCUCAUUCGGAAUAGUAGGAGUAUCAAAAGAGACUUGAACACUAAAAAUUGUUUCCACAUUAAAAGAGUAAUGUUCAAAGAAAGGGUAAUCAUAAUCAUGACAAGAUUUGUAAAUCUAAUCAUCACUACUUUUUGUAGCAUAAGUUUCAUCACAAUAAUCAUCAUAAGUAGCAACUUUAUUCUCAUCAUAAUCGAUUGAAACCUCUCCCAAGAUAGUGGAAUCACUAAAUAAAGUUGACACUCUUCCAAAUCCACUUUCAUAUUCAUCACAAUAAGAUUCAACAUCCUCCAAAAUAGUGGGAUCACUACUUCCUAAAGUUGACACUCUUCCGAACCCACUUUCAUCAAUAUAAUCAUCAUAGGUAGGAGGCAUGCUAUCAUCAUAACAACUUUGCAUAUCAAAACUUUGGAUGCUAAAAAUAUCAUCUUCAUUAAUCAUAGCAUCCCCAAGCUCGGGACAAACAUUAAUUUCAGCAAAUAUAUUCUCAAAUAUUUCAUACUCAUCAAACAUAGCUUCCCCAAUCUUGGGCCCUUUCAUAUCAUAAGUAUAAUCACUCUCAUCAUUAAAAAUAUGGAUAGCACCAAUAGUAAAGCAAAUAUCAUCGUCACAAUGAGUAGUAGGAGCAACAUCAUUUGGGAGGGAUACCUUUUUACCUUUGCUGCCCCUUCUCUUUCUUUUCUUCUUCACAUUAUGUGUGGGUUCAACCUUCUUUAUUGAUGGGAUUGGUUGAAUAGAAAGCUCCUCCUCGUUACCUGAAUCAUCAUAAGAAAUAAUAGGAGGAGGUUGGGAAGUCUCUUCCCUUUCAUUAGUAUUCUCUUCAUCUUCUAUUUGCUUUCUUUUCUUUAGGUAAUUGGCAAUAUAAGGAUUUUCAAUGCAAUUCACCACACAAAACAUAUAAAUCUUUUCUAGAUCAAUAUCAAGGAAAUGCCUAAGAUUAAAUUCUGGAAUAGGCUUAGUUAAACGUUUCAACUCUUCACAACCCAAAAGCAAUCUAAGUUCAUUGUAAUGAGAAGGGGAGAUAAAAUCAUCACAAUUUUUGGACACGAUCCGAUCAUGAAACAAUUUGCAUUGGAGAUGUAAAUGAUCUUGGUUUUUGCAAAAUUCACAACGGGAAAGAUAUCUUAAAUUCUCUGCACUCUUAUCUAGCCUUUCUUGCAGCCUCUUAGUUUCUAAAUACUUAUGAUUUUUGAAAUAUGUAUCUUCUCUAUUUGGUGUGUUCAUGCAAACAUGCACUCCACAAAAGUUGGCAUGCUUAUGAGAGAUAUUUUCAUCAUAACUAGUGCAAUCAUCAUUAGUACUACGUAUAUUCAAGGAGUUUAUACUAACAACAUUCCAAUCAUGCUCUUCAUUCAAAGAUUUAGUAUCAAGCAUUUUAAUUCAUUCUUCUUCUAGCAGUUGAGCACAAUUUUCCUUUCCAUCAUACUUACGAAAGAUAUUAAAAAGACGAAGCUUAUGAGACAAACUUAAAUCCAUUUUUUUGUAGUUUUCUUUUAUAAACUAAACUAGUGAUAAAACAAGAAACAAAAAGAUUCGAUUGCAAGAUCUAAAGAUAUACCUUCAAGCACUCACCUCCCCGGCAACGGCGCCAGAAAAGAGCUUGAUGUCUACUACACAACCUUAUUCUUGUAGACGUUGUUGGGCCUGCAAGUGCACAGGUUUGUAGGACAGUAGCAAAUCUCCCUCAAGUGGAUGACCUAAGGUUUAUCAAUCCGUAGGAGGCGUAGGAUGAAGAUGGUCUCUCUUAAACAACCCUGCAACCAAAUAACAAAGAGUCUCUUGUGUCCCCAACACACCCAAUACAAUGGUAAAUUGUAUAGGUGCACUAGUUCGGCGAAGAGAUUGUGAUACAAGUGCAAAAUAGAUAGUAGAUAAAGGUUUUUGUAAUCUGAAAUUAUAAAAACAGCAAGGUAACAAGUGAUAAAAGUGAGCACAAAUGGUAUUGCAAUGAUAGGAAACAAGGCCUAGGGUUCAUACUUUCACUAGUGCAAGUUCUCUCAACAAUAAUAACAUAGAUAGAUCAUAUAACAAUCCCUCAACAUGCAACAAAGAGUCACUCCAAAGCCACUAAUAGCGGAGAACAAACGUAGAGAUUAUGGUAGGGUACGAAACCACCUCAAAGUUAUUCUUUUGGAUCGAUCUAUAAAAGAGUUCGUACUAGAAUAACACCUUAAGACACAAAUCAACCAAAACCCUAAUGUCACCUAGAUACUCCAUUGUCACCUCAAGUAUCCGUGGGCAUGAUUAUACGAUAUGCAUCACACAAUCUCAGAUUCAUCUAUUCAACCAACACAAAGUACUUCAAAGAGUGCCCCAAAGUUUCUACCGGAGAGUCAAGAACGUGUGCCAACCCCUAUGCAUAGGUUCAUGGGCGGAACCCGCAAGUUGGUCACCAAAACAUACAUCAAGAGGCACAUGAUAUCCCAUUGUCACCAUAGAUAAGCACGGCAAGACAUACAUCAAGUGUUCUCAUAAAAGAUUCAAUCCGAUAAGAUAUCUUCAAAGGGGAAACUCAAUUCAUCACAAGAGAGUAGAGGGGGAGAAACAUCAUAAGAUCAAACUACAAUAGCAAAGCUCGGGAUACAUCAAGAUCGUGCCAUAGAGGGAACACGAGAGGGAACACGAGAGAGAGAGAGAGAGAGAGAGAGAGAGAGAGAGAGAGAGAUCAAACACAUAACUACUGGUACAUACCCUCAGCCUCGAGGGUGAACUACUCCCUCCUCAUCAUGGAUAGCGCCGGGAUGAUGAAGAUGGCCACCGGUGAAGGAUCCCCCCUCCGGCAGGGUGCCGGGAAGGGCUCCCGAGAGGUUUUUGGUGGCUACAGAGACUCGCGGCGGUGGAAUUCCCUAUCUAUCUUCUCCGUGGAUGUUUUUAGGGUACGUGGCACUAUAUAGGCGAAAGAAGUCGGUCGAGAGGUGCUCGAGGGGCCCACGAGACAGGGGGGCACGCCCUACAAGGGGGGUGCCCUCCUAUCUCGUUGAGUCCUCGAGUAUCUUCUGACUUGAACUCCACGUCUCCAGAAUGAUAUUCUUCCAAAAAAUCACGUUGCCGAAGGUUUCAUCCCGUUUGGACUCCGUUUGAUAUUCCUUUUCUUCGAAAUACUGAAACAGGCAAUAAAACAGCAAUAUGGGUUGGGCCUCCAGUUAAUAGGUUAGUCCCAAAAGUAAUAUAAAAGUGUAUAAUAAAGCCCAUAAUCAUUCAAAACAUGUAAUAUAAUAGCAUGGAACAAUCAAAAAUUAUAGAUAUGUUGGAGACGUAUCAACCGCGUACCCCCGGGUUACAUAGAGCCCAAAGAUGAGACGUAGGGCUUUUACCUCCACCGAGUGAGGGGUCUGAACUCGUUAAACACCAACUAUUACACCUACGCUGUAGCUAGUCUCUGCCCCUUAUUCGUACCCCAAGUACUCAUUGUUAGGAUCAUAACCCCGACAGUUGGCGCCCACCGUGUGGCUGGGCGUCUAGCAAAAUUUCACGAUGCAGGUGCAUUUCUUCAUCAUCAUCAUGUCAGUCGGCGGCGAAAUCCGCUUCAGGACGAUCUCCUUCAUCGCCGAUGACUCAGUGUGGUUGCGCGAGGCCCCUCUAGAUGAGGAGGCGUUGCCCAUCCGUGGUGCGUCGCACUUCCGCACUUCUUCAUAGGGAGUCCUUCUCCGACAGCCCUCGGCUCCAUACCGAGUGGUUGCCCAUCCCGCUGUUGUGCACCGUUGCAAGUGUUCCAGGCGAUCGCGGAUGGAACGCUGGAUCAAGCACGCUGUCACCAUUCAGGCGGCGACGGAACAAGUGGCGUCCAUCGAGUUUGAUGAGCCCUCCCUCGACCUCUCCGAUGGAUCACUCGGCAAUUCUUCAAAGGAGUCCGAGUCCAAAAGCAUUGAGUCGACUGCUGAGAUUCUCAUGGAAGAUAACUCUAAGCACCGCAAACCCCCUGGUUACACGGAGCCCAAAGAUGACUGUGCGGGUACUUCCCAUGCCAACACCAACGGAGGCUUACUGGGCCACGAGCCGUAUGUACCUCAGGCUCUCACACGGAAGUAGCGGGAAGAGCUCUGUCGUAGGAACGAUCAGCUCUUGAACACUCCAAUUACCGGGACGACUCCUGAGGCGCUAGCCAUGGAGUCGACUCGCCUGGCCACUCUGGCCGAGCGCGAUCGCCUCGAGCGGCUUCAAAGAGAGCUAGACGAGCGCGAGCGUCGUCAACCCAGAUUCAGUCGACUCUAUUCGAGUGACCAACCUCGUAAGUAUCAAGUGCUUAGUACUCCGUUGCAAAACCUAGCAGCCACUACUCGGAUCGCGGAUUCCAUCCAGCCCUCUGGCUCUUCAGUCGGAGAAGGGAUUCCUCAGAUCCAGGCACUCCUCAAGACAACACUGUCGCAGAAUGCGGUGGUGUCCUAGUACAGAGACCGUAUCCAUAGCGCAUAUGUGCGUGCGGAGACCGUCCAGUCGGCUCAUAGCCGACUCGGCUUGGGCAGGCGCCUAGCCACUUCCUCCUCCAGAGAUUGUCAUGAAGAUCGGAGACGCGAUCGAGCCGCGUCGCCCUGGUGUAGCGACGACUAUGAUCGUGCCUUGAUGCCUCCAUCACAAGAUGUCGCGUAUGAGCGCCAACCCUACGAUGACAGGCAGACGUACGGCAGCAACCGCAUGCCGAGUCCUACUUGCCCUUGAGAGACACUCGAGACCCGCUAUUCAACACGAGAUCCAUUCUUGCAUAGAACAUGGUCAAUAGAGGCUAGGCCUUGCGAGAAGGCCAAGAUCACGACGUGAAGAGUGGUUCUGUACCAUCAGGUAGAGAGUGUUUUAGUUGUUACAUACGAGCAGGUGAGAUACCCAACAACUUCAGGUUGGCCAAGGUAAUCAGCAAGUUCACCGGCGAAUCCAAGCCCGCAAUUUGGCUAGAAGAUUACCGACUGGCAGUCCAUAUUGGCGACGACACUGAUAAUGUGUCCAUGAAACAUUUUCCGUUGAUGCUAGAAAGCUCCGCUUAGGCUUGGCUAACAUAGCUCCCGCCGACUAGCAUUUUCUGCCGGGACUAUCUGGCGAAGGUAUUCGUCAAAACCUUUGAAGGCACAUACAAGAGAGCAAGAGGUUUGACCGAGUUGUAACAUUGUGUGUAGAAGCAAAAUGAAACUCUCCGAGAGAAUAUCCACUGGUGGACCACUCUGCACAAUACGGUGGAGAACGUUACCGAGCACCAGGCAAUCUGUGCCUUCAAGGCCGGAGUUAGAUACCGGGAGUUGAACAUGAAGUUCGGGGCCCAGCGGGGUUCCUUGUGAACCACAUAGGACAGAGAGCACUCCACCUCACCCCCUCCUUGGAACUCUCUUCCUUGUUGCUCUCCACAUCAUCGUCACUGUUGUCGUCAUCAGUUUCCUCCAAGUACUGCCACUCGGUGUCGCUCAUCACGUCUUCAGGCGACCGAUCUACCACCGGGAUAUUUGAAAUCAUGUUCUGAAACUCCUGAAGAAGUAGACAUAGCAAGCCAUCAAAAUCAGAUACACGAAAACAAUACAUCAACGGGUCAAAUAGGUAGGAACAUCCUAUCUCAACAGUCGGCAGGAGCUCUCUGAAGUAAGCUGACACCAUCCUGGACCCCCGCGGAUUGUCCCGGGCAAAGGUUAUGACCCAGAUAUUUGCCGCCAUGUCCUUCUCGGCAAGCUCCUCCGGGUGCACUCGGGUGGGAUCAUUCAGACCCUCAUACUGCCAUAAGGGGUCGGUCCUAGCAUGUAGUGGCUGGAUCCAUCGACUGAGAAAAGUCUCCAACAGAUCCAUUCCGUUUAUUCCCACGUUCAUGAAUCCGACGAGGGUGGGGCCAAGAUACAGAGCUCCGCUUUCUCCUCCUUCACCACCACAAGGGACUCGGGAGCCCUGACCCACUCCUUCGAGUAUGAAGGGAUGCCCAACUGGUUUGGGCCACUAGGACCAUCCGUGCAGUAGAACCAGGUCCCCUCCCAUCCCUUGAUGGACUCGCGAAAGCUCAUCUUUGGGAAAGCACUUCCCCCACGGACCUGGAUGCCCAGGCCUCCGCACAACUGGGUGACGUGGGUCUUCGCACCGACUGAUGGAUCCUUCUUCACAGUCAUCGAUCAACAUGUAAAAAUAGGCUUGAAGAGCCCCCAAUGGGAUUAGCAUCCGAGGAAAUUCUCGCAGAGGGAAACGAAGGCUACGAGGUAGAUGAUGGCAUCGGGAGGAAGGUGAUGUUGAUGCGCAUCAAAGUAGUCAAGGAAAGCACAGAAGAAGGGAUAGGUAGGCAUGAAGAAGCCCUGCACGACAUGAGUGAUGAGCAAGACUAGCUUGUCUUCCUGUGGUGCUGGCUCGACCUCGCCCACAUCCAUGUGGCGCCACCCAUCGUGAGGUAUGAGCCCCUCCUUGGCGAGCUCCUCUAGCCAUCAUGACGUGACUCGCGAUGGGAUCCAGUACCCCGACACGCUUCUAGCAGCCGUACCGGAGCCGUAGGAAGAAGUCGCCCCCGCCUUCUUUGCCCUCUCUGCUUUUGGCAUGGAGCCCUUCGCCAUCACCGCACACUUGGGAGGAGCAGAGAAGCGGAGGAGCCGGGAGGAGAGAAAAGGGGAUCUGAGGCCCAAAGCUCUAUCGUCAAAUAUUUUAUACCUCCGGAUAAAAUCCUUAGCCAAAUCUCCCACCACGAAUCUCUGGAUCGGCGGAACGCGCAGCAAGGCUUUACACAGGACAGGUGCAACACGUGGCAGGGAUUGUGUGCACAAAUCGAAGAGCCACGCCCCCACUUUCCCACUAACGCACGACGUGACCGCUUCAGUGCGCGAACACACGAAUUCGAAUCCCGAGAUUUCUAGGACAUUUCAAUCCGAUUGAUUACCAGCGAUUCCUUUCCUAAAGGACACACAUCAGCCCUACUGACCACCAUUCAUGGGGACCUGUGCACUCGGCCACGUUAAACACCUGACUAAUGUCACCUUCAGGAUCGUUAUCUGAUGAGCCUGAUGCCCCUCUAUGAGUUCACUUGGCCCUCCCGGUAGGCUCCAAGAUGCAUGACUCGUAAACCUGGACUCAUAGGAGGCCUGCGCUAGUGUUCCCCUGGGAUAAGGAGUGGCGUCUCUCUGGAGAGUCAGACCACGCGCUGACAUCGCCACUAGAGUUUUCAUGGCAUGCCCUCUCUCGGGCUCCUAGUCCAUCUCCUUCGAGAGACAAAACAAAUGCCACCGGGUUCUUUCACGACAAUUGACAACACCCGGUCAUCUGGGUAAACCUAAAUCCAGAAUCCGUUGUGUUUUCGUCUAGGGAACAACAAAUCAUAACAUAUUUCGAGUGCCCCUGCAGCUCUCGGACUCAAUCAAAGGAUCGGUUUAUUUGUCCUACGAAAUCCCAACCAAUUUGGGGGCUAAUGAUGUGCUCACCUCUUACAGGUAGGGUGAAGGACACAUCAUUUGGGACCCACAUAGGGCCCAUUACCAUCAUAGGUAGGUCCCUGGACCAUGCCAGCAUUCGGAUGCAUACAUCAGGAGGUUCACUCGGACGACUUUGUGGCACUUAGACAAACACAUGUCACUUGGGUGAUAGACCACCACUCGGACGUAGAGGAUAGGAGGGCGUCGCAGGAGCUGCAAUGGCCGAGGAAUCAUAAGUCGUCCACUAAAUAGAGUUAUAGGUACCAUUACCUAUAACUGCUAUAGUAGAGGCUCAUUACACCAGUAGCUAUCUCAUUCAAAGACAUUAAUUUCCUUGGCGGCGUCGGAGACAUGGGGCUGCAGCGCACUCUAUAUAAGCCAGUCCCCUCUCCAUAGUCGGGCACGUUCAAUCCUUGUAACAAUAUCCAGGGCACGAGACGUAGGGCUUUUACCUCCACCGAGUGGGGGGCCUAAACUCGUUAAACACCAAGUGUAACACCUACGUCGUAGCUAAUCUCUGCCCCUUAUUCGUACCCCUAAUACUCAUUGUUAGGAUCAUAACCCCGACAGUUGGUGCCCACCAUGUGGCUAGGCAUCUAGCAAAAUUUCACGAUGUAGGUUGAUUUCUUCAUCAUCAUCAUGUCAGUCGGCGGCGAAAACCGCUUCGGGACGAUCUCCUUCAUCUCCGAUGACUCAGUGUGGCUGCGCGAGGCCCCGCUGGACGUGGAGGCAUUGCCCGUCCGUGGCGCGUCACACUUCCGCGCUUCAUCAUACAGAGUCCUUCUCCGACAGCCCUCGGCUCCUUAGCGAGUGGUUGGCCAUCCCGCUAUUGUGGGACAUCGCAAGCGCUCCGGGCGUUCGCGGCUGCAACACUUGAUCAAGCACGCUGUCACCACUCAGGCGGCAAUGGAAAAAGUGGCAGCCAUCGAGUUAGAUGAGCCCGCCCUCGACCACUCCGAUGGAUCACUUGGAAAUUCCUCAGAGGAGUCUGAGUCCGAAAGCAUCAAGUCGACUGCCGACACUCUCAUGGCAGAUAACUCUGAGCACUGCAUACCCCUGGGGUACACGGAGCCCAAAUAUGACAGUGCGGGUACGUCCCACGCCAACACCAACUACGACUUCCCAGACCACGAGCCAUAUGUACCUCAGGCUCUCACCCGGGAGCAGCGGGAGGAGCUCCGUCGCAGAAACAACCAGCUCCCGAACGCUCCAAUUACCGGGACGACUCUUGAGGCGCUAGCAAUGGAGUCGACUCGCCUGGCUACUCUGGCCGAGCACGAUCUCCUCGAGCAGCUUCAGAGAGAGCUAGACAAGCGCGAGCCUCGUCAACCCAGUUCCAGUCGGCAUAAACAUCGGCUCUAUUCGAGUCACGUGGCCCUGGCGUAACGACGACUACGAUUGUGCCCUGAUGCCCCCACCACGAGAUGUCGCGUACAGGCACCAACCCUAUAACGACUGCUGGAUGUACAUCGGCAAUUGCAGGCCGAGUCCUACUCUCCCAUCAAGAGACACUCAAGACCCGCUAUUCAACGCGAGAUCCGUUCUCGGUCAGAACCUGGUUGAUAGAGGUUGGGCCUUGCUAGAAGGCCAAGAUCAUGACGUGCCUAGUGAUUCCGUACCAUCGGGUCCUGAGUGUUUCAGCCGUUACAUACGAGCAGCUGAGAUACCCAACAACUUCAGGUUGGCCAAGGUAAUUAGCAAGUUCACCGGUGAAUCCAAGCCCGAAAUUUGGCUAGAAGAUUACCGACUGGUAGUCCAGAUUAGCGUGGGAAACGAUAAUGUGGCCAUGAAACAUUUGCCGCUGAUGCUAGAAAUCUCUUCUCGGGCUUGCCUAACACAGCUCCAGCCGGGUAGCAUUUUCUGCUGGGAUGAUCUGCAAAGGUGUUCGUCAAAACCUUUGAAGGCACAUACAAGAGAGCGGGAGGUUUGACCAAGUUGCAGCACUGUGUGCAGAAGCAGAAUGAAACUCUGCGAGAGUAUAUCCAGCAGUGGACUACUCUGCACAAUACGGUGGAGAACAUCACCGAGCACCAGGCAAUCUGCGCCUUCAAGGCCGGAGUUAAAUACCAGGAGCUGAACAUGAAGUUCAGCCGAACUGAGACCCCGACUCUCGGUCACACUAUGGAGAUAGCCAACCGGUAUGCCAAUAGUGAAGAGGAGGACCGACUGAGGAGCGGCAAGAGCCAAGCCGACAAAGUGCAUCAGUCAGAGAACAAAGACAUAGUGCAACAAAUACGACCGGGGUCACUCAGUGGUGCAUAUCCCCGGAGGAAGGGCAACAAAUACUGCAAGAGAUUCACUCGGGAACAUGUGGGCAUCAUGCGUCUUCUCGGACCCUAGUCGCCAAAGCUUUCAGAGCCGGAUUUUAUUGGGCCCGAGCCAAUGAGGCUGCUUGAGCCAUAGUGGAUCAAUGCAUUGGGUGCCAAUUCUAUGCAAACCAAUCACACAAGCUGACAUCUUCCCAGAAGACUAUCCCCCUCACUUGGCCAUUCGCCGUCUGGGGCCUUGACAUGGUUGGCCCUCUUCGGACUGGGAUGAGUGGCUUCACGCACCUGUUGGUAACAGUGAACAAGUUCACCAAGUGGAUCGAAGCCAAACCCAUAAAGAAGCUGGACUCGGCCACUGCGAUUCAAUUCAUCAAUGAUACUAUCUUCAAUUUCGGAGUCCCACAUAGAAUCAUCACCGACAAUGGGUCUAACUUCCACUCAGACGAGUUCUGGGAGUUCUGUUACACCUAGGCACUCGGGUCGAUUACGCUUCUGUGGUGCACCCGCAGUUGAAUGGUCAAGCCGAGAGGGCAAAUGGGCUCAUAGUUCAGGGAUUGAAACAUCGCCUCAUGCAGCCGGCGCCUGGGUGACCGAACUACCGUCUGUCCUUUGGGGCUUGCGAACGACCCCAAAUUGAUCCAUGAACCGCACCCCCAUUCUUUAUGGUGUACGGGUCAGAAGCAAUCUUGCCGAGUGAUCUGCUCCACAACUCUCCCCGAGUGGAUCUCUAAUCGGAGGCUGAAGCGGAGGAAGCAAGGCAGGAUGGCUUAGACCUUCUGGAGGAAGAACGUGAGCUAGCGCUUAUAAGAUCAACAUUGUACCAACAAGACUUGCACCACUACCAUGAUAGACACGUCAGAGGACGUGGCUUCUAGGAAGGAGACUUGGUCCUCCGAGUGGAUCAACAGAAACUUCACAAGCUAGCACCCCCUGGGAGGGACCAUUCUCCAUAUCCAAGGUCUUGCACAAUGGAGCAUACAGAGUGUACAACGCCACCAAAGGAAUAGAAGAGCUCAGAGCUUGGAAUGCAGAUUUGCUCCGCAAGUUGUAUACCUAGAAUAAAUUUCUCCCUUGUAACAGUUAGUCCGAAUGAAUUUAGAUGAAUAAAAGUCUCGCUUUUUUAUGUGUCGUCUAGUUUGACCUACGGUCGCGUUCCACUCAGGUGACUAAUGCAUUCGGCAUCUAACUCAUCUCUAGUGGGUGAAGAGGUGAGAAAGCUUAGCCGCGAACCAGCUUUCGCCUAAGUUAAAAAAACAACUUGCGUGGGGAUUUGUUCCACACUCGAAGGCUUAUUCGUGAACUAUCUUUCGCCUAAGUUAAAAAACAAUCCGAGUGAGGAUCUGUUCCACACUUGGGGUCUUAGCCGCGAACCAGCUUUUGCCUAAGUUAAAACACAAUCCGAAUGAGGAUCUGUUCCACACUCGAGGGCUUAGCCGUGAACUAGCUUUCGCCUAAGUUAAAAACAAUCCAAGUGGGGAUCCGUUCCACACUCGAGGGGCUUAGCCGUGAACCAGUUUUCGCCUAAGUUAAAAAACAAUGCGAUUGAGGAUCUGUUCCGCACUCGGGGGCUUAGCCGCAAACUAGCUUUCGCCUAAGUUAAAAAAAACAAUCUGACUGAGGAUCUGUUCCACACUCGGGGGCUUAGCCAUGAGCCAGCUUUCGCCUAAGAUAAAAAAUGAGACAUGAAGCAAAAAGAAGUGCAAGAGGUUUAAAACCAAAAGAUUUAAUCCGUCUGAAUGUCUCUGAGAUAAAACAAGCUCAAUGCUCGCCGAAGUAUUUCAUUAGCUCAACCACCCAGCAUUCCGGGGCAAAUUCAACCAAAUUUUUUAAGCUUCAGGGGGAGGGCUAGCUGGAUCAACGAAGGUCUCCAGGUUUAUCUCGUUGGCGAUAUGAGUGGAAGCUUCAGCAAAGGUCUCCAUGAAAUCCUCAAACUUGAGGUUCUUCUUGUUCACCACUCGGAGGUUCUUCAACCUCAUCCAUGCUCUUGCAAUGAACACGAAUGAGUGAUAGCGCCACAUCAGCUCCACUUCGAGCGGCAGACAUCUUCCAAGAUUUUACCCAAGCAGGGAUCUUGUUUAGCCUCGUCAACACCGACUCUAGGUCCUUCCGAGUCUCUUUGCCCGGCUGCAACUCCGCAACAAUCCGAACUGCAACGCCUUUCAUCCGAGUGAUGUAGCCCAAUGUGUUAUCCAAGCGGUCUUCAAGCUGAAGGGUGGCGAGGGCGGCAUUGUCGGCGAUAAGUGACCUAGAAUGGUCCAGAUCCUUCUAGAUCCUAGCCAGCUCCAUAUACUUGUUGUAACAAUGCUCUGCAUCAAUAAGAACAAUCUGUGAGCAGAUGACUGAGGAAAACUUGGCAACGUACGGAUUUCACUCGGUCAAAGAACUUACCAGCAAGCUUCUCACUAAACUCUUCACAGACAUCCUCGAUUUGUUUCUCCAGGGCCUCCUUCUUGUCAGUCAGUUGUGUGACCUUCUCCUCCAGCUCGGCCUUCUCUUGAGUGGAGGCGUUAAUGAUGGACUUGAGGUCCUUGAUCUCAUCCUCCAACUUGCCGACUGAAGCCAGCUUCUCGUCAGCAAGUUUGGUCUUGGUCCUGGCUUCCUUUUGGUCCCUUCCCAGGUCCUUGUCUUUGUUCUCUAGAGCCUGCUUCAUAGUUUCUAAAGAAAUAGAAGUCCGGCGCCUCAUAACCAGUUGGGCGUUCUCACUACGAACAUCUGUUGGGGUGAAACGAUUUAGAUCAAAGGAAAAAACAGUAUGUAGCUACCAGUCGGAGGAUACAGCUUACCUCUGAGGGUUUUCUUCUCCUGCUCCAUUCGGGCGCUCUUGACUUCUCGGCCUCCAGUUUGAGUCGAAGAGAUGCCACCUCCUUCUCCAUCGUGGCAUAGUGGGAUCCCAUCUCACAGGUCCUCUGCACAAUACAAGAAACAGUCAGUCGGAAGACUCAAACGAGAAACCAAUGUAGUAACCCUCAAACAUCUGGGAAGACACCUGUCGGUGUCAAAACCGGCGGAUCUCGGGUAGGGGGUCCCGAACUGUGCGUCUAGGCGGAUGGUAACAGGAGACAAGGGACAUGAUGUUUUUACCCAGGUUCGGGCCCUCUCGAUGGAGGUAAAACCCUACUCCUGCUUGAUUAGUAUUGAUGAUAUGGGUAGUACAAGAGUUGAUCUACCACGAGAUCAGAGAGGCUAAACCCUAGAAGCUAGCCUAUGGUAUGAUUGUUGUUCGUCCUACGGACUAAAACUCUCCGGUUUAUAUAGACACUGGAGAGGGCUAGGGUUACAUAGAGUCGGUUACAAUGGGAGGAGAUCUUCAUAUCAUAUCGCCAAGCUUGCCUUCCACGCUAAGGAAAGUCCUAUCCGGACACGGGACAAAGUCUUCAAUUUUGUAUCUUCAUAGUCCGGGAGUCCGACCAAAGGUCAUAGUCCGGCCAUCCCGGCACCCCCUAAUCCAGGACUCCCUCAGUAGCCCCUGAACCAGGCUUCAAUGACGACGAGUCCGGCGCGCAAAUUGUCUUCAGCAUUGCAAGGCGGGUUCCUCCUCCGAAUACUUCAUAGAAGAUGUUGAACACAAGGAUAGUGUCGGGCUCCGCAAAACAAGUUCCACAUACCACCAUAGAGAGAGUAAUAUCUGAACAAAUCUAAUCUGCUGACGUAUUCCGUAGCGUGACAUCAUGCCACGGCCAAGCCUUUAUUCGAAUCAUUUUACUGUUCCACCUCAGCGCGUUUAGCGAGGCGGUUUCCUUGGCACAUCUUGUCAAAGCAGAGAUCUUGUCCCCUUAUUCUGGGAUUCUCAUCAAUACGGGUGUGGGUAACCCAACCACGCCAUUAACCGCGGCACUUGGGAGAUAAGCGAGUUUUAUUAGGCUGGUGGGGGCUUAUAGUUUCAGCCCAUAUAAGGGGAUAAGGAUCCACCCUUUUCAUUUACGCCUUCUUCCUCCUUUGCUUAUCCAUCCCUGCGCACUCGAGCUCCAGCGCCCAAGUCCGCACUUCCCACCUCAACCAUUCUCCAAUCAUGUCCGGAGCAGGAGGUCCAUGGAUGGCCUCCUCCAUCACGGAGGGGCAAAUCAAAAAGUUGAGGAAGGCCGGAUACUUGUCUGACGACAUCGCGCACUGCCUUCUAGAUGAGGGGCAACUCAUCCCCACCCCUGGGGUCGUAUUCUAGAUGAGAGGGUCGUAUUUCUUCCCCAUUUCCUCCGCGGACUGGGCUUUCCUCUUCACCUGUUCGUCCGGGGGCUCAUGUUCUGCUACGGCCUGGACUUCCACGAUCUGGCCCCGAACUUCAUCCUCAACAUCUCGGCGUUCAUCGUCGUAUGUGAGGCCUUCCUCCGUAUCCAGCCCCACUUCGGCUUAUGGCUGAAGACCUUCAAUGUCAAGCCGAAGGUUGUGGGCGGGCGACAAGUGGAGUGCGGAGGCGCCAUGGUGGGCAAGAUAGCCAAUGUUACAUGGCUCGACGGCGCCUUCAUGGAAACCAUCAAAGGGUGGCAAUCGGGGUGGUUCUACAUCACCGAGCCGCAUGACCCUGAAUGGGCAGUGGCCCCCGAAUUCCGAUCUGGCAUCCCCACACGGCUCACAUCUUGGAAAGAGACGGGUCUGUCGUGGGGUAGUUCGGCAGAGGUGACCAGACUUCAAACCUGCGUCAAAGAUCUGAUAGACAGGAAGGUCCAACUCAUCACCGUAGUCCAGGUCAUGCUUUUCCGCCGGAUCCUCCCGUGUCAACGACGGGCCUUUAAUCUGUGGGAAUUCGACCCGGCUCAGCACCAAACUUUGUCCAGGUUCUUCGAUACAACGCACGAUGAUGCCUGGAAGGUGCUUUUCAAGAGCUCCGAGGUCCACCCUCCCAUCACCGAGGAUCGCGGAUUCUGCGCGAAGCGCCAAGCCAGUGUGGUAAGCUUAAUUUUCCCAUUACGGGGUAUUUGUUUUCCAUAGUUUUGAUUCUAUGCGGGAUCUAAACUCCCAUCCCUUUAACAGGACUGGCAGAAGAAGGCCGGACGAACCAACUGUCUGGCUCCUUUGCCCGAAGACCCAGCGGAUGCUCGUUUAACGAAGCUGCUGGUUCCGGCACCUCACGUGGUGCCAGAGAAGAAUGCCAAGAAGAAGGCCACGGGGACUCGAAAGAGUUCCCGACACCUGGUGGUGUCGGAUUCAUCGCCUGACAACCCCGAAGCACCCUCCGCCUCUGAGGACGAGGAGGAGGAAGAAGAAGAAGCCUCUUCCCCUCCAGCGGGGGGAAGAAAGAAAAGGAAGGCCGCCCCAACUAGGGAGGCCGGAGGGUCCAAGAAGGGGAAGACCUUUCUACCAGACUACAUCUCCGGUGCCGAGGAUGUCGGGGAGGAAUGGCCAUCCAGGGUCAAGCCCCUGGCAAAAUCGUAAGUAUCCGGAUACCCGAAUAACUUAUGGCACUCCUCUAUUAUACGGUACCUUCUGACGCCGAAUUCAAUCAUGCAGUCCGCCCAAGGCUCAGCUCGAAGAUUCGUCGAGCGGCUCCCUGGAUUCGUCAGAUGUGAAUAGAGCUUCACUUUCGACGACCUCCUCCCUGCUCCCUGCGGACGACGCCGAGGUGGACUCCCAAAAGGGACUAAACCAGGAGGAGGUGGUCCUGGAGGCGCCGCAAGGCGACCUACCGGAUUCCAGGCCCGAAGGGGGUAAAGCCCCAGAGGUGUCUAAGUCCGGCCCUGGGCCAGACACUGCUCCGGAACCUUCAGUGGUUCCGGAGUCCGGCAGGCGGCGCCUUCAUAAGAAGGGCAAUCCUACGACGCCGGCGACCUCCGUCCAACCGGAGGCAUCGGACAAUUUGCUGGAGGUUCUUAACAGCGCCUCCAUCGACGAGGAACACCGCACUGUUAUGAGUGCAGUGAUUCAGAAGGUUCAGUCCGCCAAGAGCGGGCUAACUGAAGCAUGUACCAGCCUUCUAACAGGCUUUGAGGUAAGUUUUAAGAUAUGUAAGAAUAUUACCGCAUAGACAGUAGCCCCUGAUGCUCAGUUUGGUGUUCGGAAAGAAAAGCCGAGCUGAGGAUCUAAAAAGAUAUACGCAGGAGUCUAACAUAAAUAUGUCAAUAUGGGAAUGCAGGCUGCGCUGCUGACCUCUGCCGCACUGACUGCGGAGGUCAAUGCAUUGAAGGAGAGCCUCGAGCGGUCCGAGAACGAGCUCGGCCUUGCCAAGAAGCAGCUCGAGGACAAGGAAGGUAAGUAAUACCUUAUAGAAAGGAUUUGGUUGCAAAAAAUGACAGGAAUAACGUGGGUAUUGCAGGGGCCAUGAUCGAGGUGGCGACCCUAAAGGAAGCGGUGUCCAAGGCCGAAAAUAGUGUGGCCUUGGAGCGCACCGAGCGAGAGAAGCAGGAGGCGCGGGUGGCGGAGGUGCGGCAAGAGCUCCAGGCUCUCGUGGAGAAACACGAGAGUUUGGAGCGUGACUCGAAGACUCGAGAGCCCGAGCUCGCCUUGGCUCUUGAGAGUGCAAAAACCGCUAAGGCCGAAGCCCAGAAGGCCCUCCAGGAGAUCGAGGCGAUAAAGAAGAUAGCGGCGGGUAAGGCAUUCUUUAUGCAAAGCAAGCAUAUAAAAGUGAAUUAUCUGUUACUUACCUGAAUUCGGAGCUCUCCAAGAGCGUUCGCCGAUAUGCCCCAUAGUGUGUCUGAUGCUGCCGCGUUCUACCGAACCGAGGAGGGGAGCUGACGGGAAAGGUGUUCUGGUCUCAAUAUGCUGAGGCCGGACAUCCGGUGCCCCUGAGCGACCAGCUAAAGCAGCUGGUCGAGCUCCACAAGGUGGCCGAACAGGCCAUGAAGGGCCUCAUAGUUCAGUUGUGGCGUAGAGAUGCCAUGCCUGGGAGCUACUUCGGUCUGGUGCGGCGGCUGGUGGACGCCUGUCCAUGGAUUGAAGUCAUCAAGCGCUCCGUCUGUAUUGAACAUGCCCGUCGGGCCCUUGCCCGUGCUAAAGUGCACUGGGGCAAGAUGGACACCGAGAAGCUUGUGACGGACGCGCCACCGCCGGGCAAGGAGUAUCGCAAGCCCGACAUGUAUUAUGAGGGCAUCCUGAAGGGUGCCCGACUUAUAGCGGGUGAAUGCUCCAAAUAUGUAAUUUUUGAGUAGACUCGCAUCUGUUAUCCUGUACGCUGAAAACUUUGUUCAUAUGCGCUAAGCAACGCUUGUUAAUUUAAAAUAUUACCUUCUGUGCGACCGUUUAUCAAAUCUGAGAGAUGCAAGUCAUCGGCUUCUACCCCCAUGCCACGAGUGCUGGGGUGUUCGGGAUAAACCUGAGCGCUCUUGUUCCCAUUCUUGGGUCCAUCUAGGGAGGCGCUCAACACAACGAACAAGGCCAUCGGACUUAUAAUGCUUUAUCACUCUCACUUAGCCAUAGAAUUCUAAAAUUUUAAAUUUCGGCGAAGCCCCUAGUAUUCGGAAGACUGAGUUCGGGGCGCUAUCCAUGCCUAGGCCAGAUAAAUCCGGCUCCUCGCUCUAAGCGGCAUAAGUCUUUAGGGACUUGAAAAACCUCGCGAACAGCGACCGGUCUCUCGCACUAUCAUGACGGUCAGUUUUAGCUUUCUCUACUGAGGUGUUAACCCAGCUCAACUGGAGCACAAUCGCAGUAGUUCUCCCAGCGCUACCUUAGCCAACAUUUUGGAACGUAAGGUACCAAAACAUGGGAGCCGGGCAAACCCAACUAUUGACCCAAGACAUGAUUCGGAGCCGAUGCAUAUAGUGCUAUAAGUUCGGGGUGACGCACUCAUGAGAGUGUUCGGUCUUCUCACACCGUGUUAUGGGGUGCUUAAGCCCCUGGUGUAUUGGCCAUACCAAAGUGUACGGUUGCAUAAUGUCAUGACUGAACAUAUUUGUGUAAAAAUAGAUGAAUACAAUAAUAGAUAAGAACUAUGUAUUGUUUAUUAAAAAGGGGCUGCUAUGAAAGCAGAACGAUACAAAUAGUGCGAUAAGAAAGAGAUGUGUUUAUUUGACAUGUCCCCCUCCAGGGGCAAGCUGCGAGACUUUAAGUAAAACAGGUAUUUAGCUCGUUAUAGAGACCACCUGGACAUUUGACGUGGCUUGUUCUCUCCCUGGCUGUUGCAUCGUGUGUUCGGCGAGUGUAUUGCCGGACAGGCCUUCCGGAUAGUUGGGUCCUGAAAGUAUAUAAAAAAAGGAAACGGCAGAAUAGGGAGCCCCUAGUGCGGUUGAGCCGCAUUCUGGGCGUGCCGUGGUUGUGCCCCUCCCCUUAUGCCCAUGGUAUUUCCAAAGCGUAAUUAUGUACGCGUGGUACCGCUAUCGCCAUCUGGCAAGGGUAGGGAUUGCGGCCGCACUGCUAUGCUUGCUCAGAACGUGCCAGCCGGUUUUGUUGUAGGUUACUUCGGGCGCGCUUGACGUUGUCCGGACGUUUAACACCCGGAUUGGAGAAUUGCCUUGAGAGGCUACUUUGUACUUCCGCCGCCAGGGCCGCCGUGUGCUCCUCCGUUCGGAGAGAGUGUUUGGUGUUUCCAUUUACCUAAUGACUCCGCGAGGGCCUGGCAUCUUGAGCUUGUGAUAUGCGUAGUGCGGCACCGCAUUGAAUUUUGCGAAUGCGGUUCAUCCGAGCAGGGCGUGAUAGCCACUGCGGAAUGGGACUAUGUCGAAGAUUAACUCUUCGCUUUGGAAAUUAUCCGGGGAUCCGAAGACCACUUCGAGUGUAACCGAGCCUGUACAGCUGGCUUCUACACCUGGUAUGACGCCUUUAAAGGUUGUCUUUGUGGGUUUAAUCCUUGAGGGAUCUAUACCCAUUUUUCGCACUGUAUCCUGAUAAAGUAGGUUCAGGCUGCUGCCGCCGUCCAUGAGGACUCUAGUGAGGUGAAAUCCGUCAAUGAUUGGGUCUAGGACCAAUGCGGCGAAUCCGCCGUGACGAAUGCUAGUGGGUUGGUCCCUUCAAUCAAAAGUGAUGGGGCAGGAGGACCAUGGGUUGAACUUUGGGGCGACUGGCUCCAACGCAUAGACGUCCUUGAGACCACGCUUCCGCUCCCUUUUGGGGAUAUGGGUUGCGUAUAUCAUGUUCACCGUCCGCACUUGCGGGGGGAAGCCCUUCUGUCCUCUGUUGUUUGGCGGCCGGGGCUCCUCCUCGUCAUCGCAAUGCAGCCCCUUGUCUCUGGUUUCGGCACUUAACUUGCCCGCCUGCUUGAACACCCAACAAUCCCUAUUCGUGUGGUUGGCUGGUUGUUCGGGGGUGCCGUGUAUCUGGCAUGAGCGAUCGAGUAUCCGGUCUAAACUGGAUGGGCCCGGAGGGUUUCUUUUGAAUGGCUUCUUCCACUGACCGGGUUUAGAGCCUCUGAAUCCGGCAUUAACUGUCGUAUCCUUAGUAUUGUCGCUGUUAAUGCGGCUCUUGUGCUUGUUGCGAUGUGACCUGCCAUUGUUGUCCUUGGUAUCCGAAUUGCCAGGGCUCUUGGUUAUGUUAUUGCUACGAGCUAGCCAGCUGUCUUCUCCCACGCAAAAGCGGGUCAUGAGUAUUGUGAGGGCUGCCAUAGAUUUUGGCUUUUCCUGUCCUAGGUGCCGGGCAAGCCAUUCAUCUUGGAUGUUGUGCCUAAAGGCUGCAAGGGCCUCUGCGUCCGGACAGUCGACUAUUUGAUUUUUCUUGGUUAGGAACCGUGUCCAGAAUUGUCUGGCCGAUUCCACUGGCUGCUGGAUUAUGUGGCUUAGGUCAUCAGCGUCUGGUGGUCGCACAUAAGUGCCCUGGAAGUUGUCAAGGAAUGCGGAUUCCAGGUCCUCCCAGCAACUAACUGACUCUGCUGGCAGGCUGUUAAGCCAAUGCCGAGCUGGUCCUUUAAGCUUGAGCGGGAGGUAUUUGAUGGCAUGCAGAUGAUCACCACGGGCCAUGUGGAUAUGAAGGAGAUAAUCCUCGAUCCAUACCGCGGGAUCUGUUGUGCCAUCGUAUGAUUCGAUGUUUACGGGUUUAAAACCCUCGGGGAUUUGAUGAUCCAUUACUUCGUCUGUGAAGCAUAGUGGGUGUGCAGUGCCCCUGUACUGGGCUAUAUCGCAACGUAGCUCGGAUGAGCUUUGUCUGUUGUGUUCGGCCUGGCCGUAUUUAUCAUAUCCGGCGUGACAGUUAUCGUCACGUGACGUGGGGCGCCCAUGCGAUUCGUAGAUCGAUCUUGUUUGCCUUGCCUUAUCCUCCAAUAUGUCUCGCAUGUCUGGUGCGUUUCCCCGUGCUCUGGUAUUUUUGGAGCAGCGCCGGGGUGCGGCUUGAGUUGAGGGCCGAAAGGCCUCUCUGUCGUGGCCACGGGGUGGCCGAUCGGGCGCAUCGUACACUGGUGAUGUAUGUUUAGUUGCUUCCUCCUCUAGUUGGGGUAGCAGCCUGCGCUUUGGGUAGCUCUUGGAGGGGCGUUCGAGUUUAUACUCUUCGGCCGCCAGGACUUCAGUCCAUCUGUCGGCUAGCAAGUCUUGGUCAGCUCUAAGCUGCUGCUGUUAUUUCUUGAGGCUGCUUGCCGUGGCCAUAAGCCUGCAUUUGAAACGCUCUUGUUCGAAUGGGAUCCUCUGGCACGACGAAUUCGUCGUCGUCGAGGCUUGCCUCAUCUUCGGAGGGAGGCAUAUAAUUGUCGUCCUCGACCUCCCUGUCUGCCGCUCUCUCAUGAGGGUUGGCACCUCCGUCCUCCUGCGUUGAAUCCUGCUGGAGGGGGUUGUCAUCGGCACUGUCCAGGGUGUUGUUGUCUCCAGUGCCGGACUCGCCGUUUUUGCUUUGGCGGGAUUUAGAGCGGCGCCGCUGACGUCGGCGCUUGGGUUGCUUCUUGGAGGGGUCGUCCUCCGUUUUUUCAUCGCCAUCCCCUGCUUUGGGGGUGUCCACCAUGUAUAUGUCAUAUGACAAGGUGGCUUUCCAGUGCCUUAUAGGUGCUGGUUCUUGGUCGUCUCCUUCAUCGGCGUCCAUACCAUCGAUGUCUUCGGAGUCGAAGUCGAGCAUGUCGGUUAGAUCGUCGACAGUGGCUACAAAGUGGGUGGUGGGUGGGUUUCGAAUUUCUUCGUCAUCCGCAUCCCAACCAUGCUGACCAUAGUCCGGCCAGGGCUCUCCUGACAAAGAGAGAGACUUUAGUGAAUUCAGGAUAUCGCCAAAGGGCGAGUGCUGAAAGUCGUCCGCGGCGGUGAACUCCAUGAUCGGAGCCCAAUCGGGUUCGAUCGGAAGGGGUGCGGAAGAUUCGGAGUGUGGAACGUAGUCCGGCACCUUGGAGUCACAGGCCUCGCAAAGGACUAGGCUGGUAUCCGGCUCUAUCGCCGUAGAGAUUGCGGCUCCUGGGGCGGCGUCCAACCAUCCGUCCCUGACUGGCAAUGUCGGCUCUGAGCUAAUGGUCGGAGCGGACACCUGAGCGGCGCUCUGGGCGCUGUCCGGCGGUAGAGCUAGAUCAUGCCCAUCGUGACAGUGCGGCGCACUCGGCCGUGGCUCGAAUCCGUCGAAGCUCAAGUCCCCGCGGAUGUCGGCCGUGUACUUUAAGCUUCCAAACCUGACCUGAUGGCCAGGGGCGUAGCUUUCGAUCUGCUCCAGAUGGCCAAGCGAAUUGGCCCGUAGUGCGAAGCCGCCGAAUACGAAGAUCUCUCCGGGGAGAACAUUCUCACCCUGGACCGCGUCAUGGUUGAUGAUCGAAGAAGCCAUCGGGCCUAAAGGUGACGACACAGGGGAACUCUCAAUGAAAGCACCAAUGUCGGUGUCAAAACCGGUGGAUCUCGGGUAGGGGGUCCCGAACUGUGCGUCUAGGUGGAUGGUAACAGGAGACAAGGGACACGAUGUUUUUACCCAGGUUAGGGCCCUCUCGAUGGAGGUAAAACCCUACUCCUGCUUGAUUAAUAUUGAUGAUAUGGGUAGUACAAGAGUUGAUCUACCACGAGAUCAGAGAGGCUAAACCCUAGAAGCUAGCCUAUGGUAUGAUUGUUGUUCGUCCUACGGACUAAAACUCUCCGGUUUAUAUAGACAUCGGAGAGGGCUAGGGUUACAUAGAGUCGGUUACAAUGGGAGGAGAUCUUCAUAUCAUAUCGCCAAGCUUGCCUUCCACGCCAAGGAAAGUCUUAUCCGAACACGGGACGAAGUCUUCAAUCUUGUAUCUUCAUAGUCCGGGAGUCCGACCAAAGGUCAUAGUCCAGCCAUCCGGACACCCCCUAAUCCAGGACUCCCUCAACACCGCUGGAAGGAACAAGUUAGACCAGUACCAGAUCCUGAAGUACCCUCUGACUAUCAAGUGGACUACACACUCAGUCGGACCCUCCAGGAGGAACAAGCUUGACCAGUACCAAAUUCUUAAGUACGUUCUUGGUACCAAGUCGACUGUACAUUGCCAAGUGGAACAAGCUUGAUCAAUAGCAGAUCCCGAAACACUCUCUGAUCUAUCCUCACUCGGCUAGCCCCUGAAUUGGCAAUGAAGAAGACAGAGGGCAACAACACAAGAUGGCCUACUUCACUCAGCUGACUUCCAAGUCAGUAAUGAGGAAAGUUCUACCUAUUACCCCAUCAACACAUGAGUGUCGUCGGGCAUCCCAAACGCCUCAUGAUUGUUCUAAAUACUACUCCCUCUGUCCAUAAAUACUUGUCAUCAAAAUGAAUAAAAAGGGAUGUAUCUAGAUGUAUUUUAGUUCUAGAUACAUCCCUUUUUGUCCAUUUUGAUGACAAGUAUUUUCGGACGGAGGGAGUACCAUUGAUUUCCCGCAAUCGACGGUAGUCUCAGGGACUACAGCCAAUGAGUGCACUCAGCGUGCCCCCAAUGGAAAGAGAUUUGUUGGUGGAGCUGAAAAAACUAAGACUAUCGCCGACUAUUCUAGUCAAUGGUAGCCUCGGGGACUACACCCAGUGGGUGCACUCAAUGUGCCCCUACUGGAUUGUGUCCACUCGACUAUGCUCCGGCAAGAAUCCGAGUGAACAUAAGAAAAUUCAACAAAAAUUUCAAAGACUCAUGACUACUGAUUCCAGUCGUCAGGAGCCUCGGGGACUACACUCAGUGGGUGCACUCAGCAUGCCCCCACUGGAUAUUGUACACCCAGUGGGUGUGCUAUGUGCCCACUGGGGCAAAUCCUAGUACAGAAAAAGAUAAAACUUUGACUGGAAAUCAUACUAACAAUGGUACUUACUCGGACGUUGGUCUGCAGCAGUGUGCUAGCGUCAUAAGCCGCCUUCACUCGGUCGUACAUCAACCCCACCUGGACCAGAGCUUCCUUCCUUGCCCCCACCUGGUAUUCAGGGACACGGUAUAGGGGGAAAGAAGUGACCGGAGUUGAAGGAGACGUAUAGGCAGGCGUUGGAGCCUGAACUGUUGCCGACCAAGUCAGAGGAACCAGCGAGCCCCCUACAGCCAGGACCACUACAGUCGCGGAAGGCGAGCCACUCAGAGCAAGAGGACUUGGCCCCGUAGUUCUUGUGGCGGUCUCUGCCGAAGAAACGCGGGGAACUUGGCGAGGGGAAGCGCCCGACAUUGGUACAUCCACACUCGGCGCCUUCUCCGGCUUAGGCGAAGCAUUCCUUUCGUCAUCAUCCAGCUGAAUGAUUUAUGGUGGAGCUAAAUGAAUACACAAACCAGAAGAGUCAACGAAGACCAGUCAGUAGAUAGUCAAGCACCAUGAGUAGUUGGCAUGAAGUUACCUUUGGAGGUGGCGGCAUCCGCCACAUCAAUAUCACCCGGGCAGAGCAUACGGGUGUGCGGGUCCGCCGAAGUGGUCGAGGUGUCAUUACUACAAGGAUCAGAAAACAGUUGGUGAACAAUCAAAUCAAUACAAAAAUAGAUAAAGAAUGGACCAGAGCACUCACGUCGAGGCCACGGGAACGGCACCUUGAUCCAAGGUACCGCAACCUUUCGGGGCUUGGAGGAGAUCUACUUGGGCAACUUGGGCUGGUUCUCCGCUGAACUCUCAGCCUCGGCAUGAGCACGCUUCAAGCUCCGAGUGGUCUGACCAGAAACAGUCGACCGCUGGGCCCCACUCGCCUUCCCCUUUGGCUCAUGCAGCGCCUUGGAGUGGGGUUCCUUGGGAACCUCAUAGGAUGAAUAGGACUCCACCUCAUCCCCCUCCUUGGAACACUCCUCCUUGUCGCUCUCCACAUCAUCGUCACUCUUUCAUCAUCGGAUUCCUCGGAGUACUGCCACUCGGUGUCGGUCGUCACGUCUUCAGGUGACCGAUCCACCACUGGGAUAUUGGAAAUCAUGUUCUGAAACUCCUGCAGAAGUAGACAUAGCGAGACAUCAAAAUCAGUCACAGAAAAAAAAAAAA
Molecule: long non-coding RNA, 67961 nt
Filed under: Triticum aestivum (bread wheat)
Lineage: Eukaryota; Viridiplantae; Streptophyta; Magnoliopsida; Poales; Poaceae
Description: long non-coding RNA (TAES_LNC003887)
Rfam family: MIR1120/MIR1122 microRNA precursor family (bases 1745-1831)
Source: RNAcentral